Molecule: long non-coding RNA, 53920 nt
Filed under: Coffea arabica (coffee)
Lineage: Eukaryota; Viridiplantae; Streptophyta; Magnoliopsida; Gentianales; Rubiaceae
Description: long non-coding RNA (CARA_LNC003439)
Source: RNAcentral
UUUUUUUUUUUUUUUUUUUGUGGCAUUGCUUCUGCAACGCCUAGCCAAAACAGAGCUCUGCCGCUGCUCUUCUCUUAUUUUUAUUUGUUUUUUCCUCCAACAGAUUUGGGCAACCUACUUAACCAAAGAUUAAAAUCUAACACCCUAUUUCUACGAAUCCACAUAUGAAUCUUCCUAAAAACAUAUAGCUACAUAUAUAUAGCAACAAUACAUAUCCGUAAAAUUCUUAGGACAAUUAAUGCAACUACUAAAACUUAAAAGAAAAGUUUUGCAUGCACUCGGGACUUACAGGUUUAGGUGCCUAGUCGUCUGAUCGAUUGACGGUGUCGCCUGCUUCUCCUUCUCUAUUCUCUGACAGCUCUUGCUCUAGGGAGGCAGACGAAAGAAAGGUAAGGGUGGUGUUAUUUUUCUUUCUGGGGUUUCAAUAAAAUUCUAAACCUAGCACUACUCACUAGUAGGUAGUUUAGAUAGGAGUUUUAACUAUUGUGAACUUUCACCCUAUCUUAUCUCAUAUUACCCCUUAAUUAAUUCUUUAACCUAACCUGCAAUUUUUUUUUCUUUUACACAUAGUAAAUUACCAUUUAAUUAAAUUGGGCAAGAUAAAGUGAGCCCAAAAACCGUGGGUUUUACAGACCCCGAAAAAAAAAUCAAAAGUAAAAGAAGAAAAGCGAAGAGCUAUAUCACUCAUUUGCCAAUAGUGAUUCAAAAAAAGAAAAGAAAAAAAGAUACGUAAGAUCAAGGUGCUAUAUAGACUGAUUAAAUUUGUAUACAAAAGACUAGAAAACAAACUAAACAUCUUUGUAGCAAGAUUUACUAAUAUAAAAGCAAACAAUUCUUGAAUAGAUACGUAUCAACCUAUAUUCUAGAUCAAAUUACCACCAGUCUUUCUGUUACAAAGGUUUCUGGCCCUUUGGCAUCAAUUACAAUCUGCAAGUCCAAAAUAUGAAAUCUGAAAAAAGCCAGAAUCAUAACAGUUGUCAAUUGUCAUGUGAGCACUUCCUUCCAAUCAUGUUUCUUUAGAGAUUUAUUUCAAAUAGAUGUACCUUGCUUUCCUGGGCUCUAAUCCUUUGAAUUUUAAAAUACUAAAUAUUUGACAAACAUAUAAACUAAAUAAUAAAAAAUAGUUAUCUCAACAAAUCUUACCUUCAUGGUGAUAAAGUAUCUGUGAGCAAAUUAAAUAUAUUAGAGAGUAUAUCAAUAUUUAAUUACUUUUUAAAAAAGGAUCUGUCUAAUGGGUGCCCAUAGGGCACUAAUUAAGAUAUAUUUUGGGUGUCAUAUUUUUGAAAAUAUAAAAUUAAUUAGGAAAAGUAAAUAAAUACAAAAGAGGGUAGGUAAGAUUAAAUAAGGAAAGUAUAUAAAUGCAAGGGAUGGUACUAAUUGUUAGUAUAUGUAUAUGCAUGAUAGGUUAGGUAAAUGUUAGAUAUAUUAAUGAGUGCCCUAUGGAUACCCUUUAGAAAAACCCUUUUAAAAAUAGUAAAGAAAAGAAAUUAUCCUUCAAAGGAAAAAAAAAAGAUGUCCACAUAAACCUCACGUGAUCAUGAUUUUAGAAAAUAGGUAACUAAUUUUGAAUUUUUCUAAUGAGAAGAAAAUAGCAUAUAUUUUUCCUUCUUUUUUACGUUGGAGAAUGGAUAGAAAUUAAUGAGAAUUUUAUAAAUUUAUAAUUGAUUAAUUAUAAGAAAAAAAUAUGUAUAGUUUAUUUAAUUUUACAAAUUAGAGAAUGGAUAACUAGGAUAGAUCUUAUAAAAUAAAAAAGAUACAAGUUAAUAUAGAAAGGAAGAGAAUUAAUUGUUACCAUAAAAUAAAAAGAAUAAAAAAGUAAGAGAUCAAUAUGUUGAUUGAAAUUUGUUAUAAAUACGAUAGUAUUGAAUUAUAGCAACUUCCAAAAUUUCCAAAAAUUUAGUAAUAGUAACGUCUAAUAUAUAAUCAAGUCAAAAAAAUAAAUUAAAAAAUGCAAUUGGAGAGAAAUAAAAAAACCUAUAAGUUCAUUAAUAAAAAGAUUUGAUAAGGCAUAACAAAUACAAACGUACAUAAGGUGAAAACUAAAAAAUUGAGUGAAAUGCUAUAAAUAUGGAAGUGAAAAUGGAAAUGGAUUAAUUGUCAAUAAAAAAUAGAAAAGAAUUAAAAAGGACCAAAAAAAUAUAAACAUUAAAUUUGUCCGCAUGGCGAACAAGGUGGAUAGUCUAUCUGGCAGCAGGUUAGAGUAGCUAAGUUUGCAACUUUCCAAAGUUGAAACUGAACAUUGUUUAUUAUAUAUACAAGCUUCUUUCCUAUGCAUUUGCACGGGUUAUUUUGUAUUCAGCAGCACAAUUAAAUAUUUUUGAAAAUUCAAAUAUUUAUUUGAAUAGAUAAACUAUGUUUUGAUUAACUAUUUUACUAUAAAUUGAGACUGGAAAGAGGAUAUACUAUAUGUAAAACUUAAAAUGAGCUAAGAGUUAGGUUAGAGCACUAAACAAAAUAUUGCAAGCAUUCAAUAUAAAAUUAAGGUAAUUAACCAAAAUAACGGUAAACAAAUUGUAAUAAAAAUUCAAUCUAAAAUUAAUUUACAAACCAAUAUAGUCUGUUCGGCUUGUGCAUGUUCUGAAGCAAUAUUUUUGGUAAGAAGGAAGAAGUAUCAUAAUAUGUUCAAUAAUAUUUUAUUAUUAUCUUAUGAAAAGAAAAUAAAUUAAAGAUUAAAAGGAAGAGAGAGAAAAGGCUGUAUAUUAUUUUUCAUAAAUUGAAAAGGUAAAGUGCAAAAACAAUUAUUACCAUCAUCAUAUAACUAUGGAAUUCUAUGAACCUCUUAUGCUUGAACAUCCUAAUAGCAUGACUUUUGAAUCCUUGAUUUCAUUAUGGUUAAUUGUCGUUAACAUAGUAAGUAUUCUGAAAUAUGACUAAAAUUAAAUACACUAAGAAUGUAUAUUAAGGAUAACAAAAUGAGUGAUUGAUCGUUGUUAAUAAAAAUACUACACCUAAAAUGUGAAAAUGUUUAGGAUUAGUUGUUGCUAACAAAAAUAAAACAAUUUAAACCUAACCAAAUAAAUUAAGACAAUAUAUACACAUGGCAGAAACAGAGGACGUUCACUUGGUAGAAAAUGAGAAUAAUCGACUCAGUAACCUGCCAUACAGGGAACUGAACAUCGUUUUAUUAUAUAUACUAGUUUUGUAUUCAGCAGACUUUAUUUUUAGAUGAACAUGGAUACAAAAGAACUAAAAUAACAAAUUUGUUAAAUUUUAAAAUACUAAAAUUAAGACAAACAUUGAAACUAAAUGAUAAAAAUAGUUACUCCCACACAGUACACUAAUUAGUUUUUAGAAAAUCUUACUUCGAUGGUGAUAAAGUAUCAUGUAAGAAAAGUAAAUAUAUUACAGAGUAUAUCAAUAUUAUAUUACCUUUUUAAAAAAUGUAAAGAAAAGAAAUUAAGAAGCAAAAAUUCUUUCAAAGGAAAAAAAAGAAAAAGAUGUUCACAUAAGCGCAUUUGAUCAUGAUUCUAAAAAAGGAGUAAUUGAUUUUGAAUUUUCUAAUUAGAAGGAAAUAGAAUAUAUCUUUUCUCUUUUUUUUUGGCUAGAGAAUGGAUGAAAAUUAAUUCAUGAUCAUGAUUAUAAAAAAGGGUAACUGAUUUUGAAUUUUCUAAUUAAAAGGAAAUAGAAUAUAUCUUUUCUUUCUUUUUUGUAUGUUGGCGAAUGGAUGGAAAUUAAUUACUCUUGUCGUCCCAUUGAAAGUGUUAUAUUUUUUAUUUUGGGAUGUUCCACUAUAUUUGUCAUGUUGAGAAACUCAAAAUACUUUUUAGGCUCUCCUUCCAAUAUAGUUUCUCUCUUUAAUUAUAUGCACGUUACCAUUCAAAUUAAAAUUUGAAAUUUGUGGGGGUAAGAUUGGAAAGAGAAGUACAAACAUCAUAAUCAAAUCAUUAUUUUUUAAAAGUUGAAUUCCUGAAACAUGACAAAAUAGUUGGGAGGGAGUGAGUAGAAUUUUAUAAAUUUAUAAUUGAUUAAUUUAAAGUAUAUAUAUUUAUAGAUAUAGUUCCUUCAAUUUUACAAAUUAGGGAAUGGACAUCCUUGAUAGAAUAUAUGAAAUAAAAAAGAUACAAAUUAAUAUAGAAAUAAGGGAAUUAAUUGAUACCAAAAAAUAAAAAGAGUAAAAAGUAAGAGAUCAAUAUGUAGAUUGAAAUUUGUUAUAAAUACGGAACUAAUGAAUUAUAGGGAAAUUUUUUUUUCAAAAUUUAGUAAUAGUAACUCCCAUAUAAUCUUGCACAAAAUGAGAUUGGAGACAAAUUAAUAUAUAUAUAUAUUUAUAUAUAUGAAUUGAUUGAUAACAAAAUUUGAUAAGGCAUAAUAAAUACAAAUGUAUAUAAAGUAGAAAAUAAUAAAUUGAUUGAAAAUUGCUACAGGUAAGGAAGUGAAAAAGGAAAGUGAUUAAUUGUUACUAAAAAUAGAAAAAGAAUCAAAAUCACCAAAAAAAAGUAUUAAAUAUGUCCACAUGAUGAAUAGAUAGAUAGUCCACUUGGAAAAAGGUUAGAGUAGCCAAGUUAGCAACCUUCCAAAAUCAGAAUUGAAGAUUAUUUUAUAUAUGUACACUAGCAAACUUUAGGUUGUGCUAAGUACAGCCCAAGUCCACUUAGAAUUUCAAGAACAAUUAAGUGAAAAUCAUUCUUUUGCAUAAAAUCAAUAGAAGGCAAAAGUAGAAUAUAUGGCCACUUAUUUAUAUUACUAAAUAUAAGAGUAAAUCUUGAUCCUAUCACUAAAUACUAAUGAGUAAUUUACUAAUUAGUUAACUUAACUAGAAAUAUACUUGGAAGUAAAAUUUUAAAGGAAGUUGAUACGUUGGAGUUUAGCUUAACAAUUAAUUUGAAGUUCUUAUAUAUUUCAACGUUGUUUAAGAAUUGAGAUUAUGAGUUAGAACUUAGGAUUAUGAACCCUUUUUUUUGCAUAUCAUGUUUGUUUGAGUUAAGUUGAUUGAAUUUUAUUGGAAAAACAUAUGGGAUAUUAUUUUGUUACAACAAUUUUUUAGAGAAAAUUAAAAUAUUUUAACUCACUAUUGAUAUUUUGGAUUACAAAUAUUAUUGAAUUACCGAUUCUCCGAUCCAAUUUAUCAAAUUAAGGUUUGGACGGUAAUCGGAUAUUGGUCUUAAAAAAUCAAUUCCCGAAUUACCAAAAUUUUUUUUAUCGAAUUCCGGAUUUAUCAACCAAUGAACACCCAUAAACAUAAGGGCCAGACUUGUUAGAUUUGCAUGAACAAAAGGCAAAAAAAAAAAAAAAAAAAAAAGAUGUGCAAUGGCAACAAUAGCAAUGUGCAAGAAAUAUUAGUAAAUUACUUGUGAAGCUAUUAGGAAGCCACGUGGCAAGUAAGGAGGCAAAGUACUAAAACUCACUUCCUUCUUAUAUAUAUAGUAGAGGUAGAUACACACACAUGCAUACAUGCAUAUUAUAUAUAUAUAUAUGCAUGUGUGUGUAUAUGUAUAUAUAUAUGUAUGUAUAUGUAUAAGUAUAUAUGUAUGUAUGUAUGUAUGUAUGUGCAAACAAGGGAAAUGGAUCAAAACUUGUCUACAUAUUAAGCCAAUGAGAAAAUCAUAGUUUUGAUCACAAUGUUUUACCUGUGUGCUAAAUUUGUCCUUAAUGUUUCAUUUAAAGCAAAUCUGGUCCUUAAAGUUUAUGAUUUUAGGCACAUUUAAGACAACUAAUGGAAUUUGAAGAAAGAUUAACAGUCAACAUCAAAUUGCCCUUAGUCAACAACUUUGAAUUUGCAAUUUUGGUUCCCAAUAUUUUGAUUUUGAAUCAUUUUAUUUCCCUAAAUUUUAAAUAGUGACGUUAUGGGUUUUAGGAUGAAGUGAGAUGGGUACAUCAGUUGCAUUUAGGAGAGUCUUUUCUUGGUGCUGCAAAGGAAUUAAAUUUAUUCUUAUCCCGGAAUAAGUCAAUCUCUCUAGUAAUCCAUUUUGAACCUGAAUAAGUAAAAUAAAAAUUCGUUUCACACAAAAUAAAGAAAAGAAUCGAUGAAGUAUAAUUGAAUCUGAUAAGGCAUUUUGAAUCGAAUGAUUAAAUAAAAAUGAGUUUGGUCCAGAUUAAAUAAAGAAGCAAUUGGUCAAGGAUUUCUUCCAACAUUAUAUAUCUUAACUAAGACACAGCAAAUUCAGACUGAGCCUGGGUCAAAUUUGAGAGAAAUUUGUGACAUCAUAUCUUUGCAAGUGUUCGAUUGUUUUGAAAAGUACAAACAAGAAAGCAAAAGUCCAUCCACAUGUAAAGUUAUUCAAAGGAGAAAUGGAAAAUCAAAAUGUCCACUUGCUUGCUAAUUGAACAUUUAACACCCUGUAGCAAGAAGUUCAACUAAUUAAAAAAGUAUAUAAAAUACCAUAUGCUUUGCCGAAGAAGGUUGAAAUUCAUUUUCUAAAGCCAAGUUGGACAAUUAAACGAAGUAAUUAGAUCCUUUACUUCCCAGGUGUUAUCAUAUAUUUGACUCUUUCGCACUAAUCCCAAAUGCUAGCUAUUGUUUAAAAUUGGAUCAAGUCUUUUUAUUUUUAAAGGAUUAGUUGUAACUAAUAUAUCAUUUUACUAAGGUUAGAAAGUUAAACAUGUUCAUUCCUUUUCUUUUCCAGUUACCAACAAAAUUUGUUAAAGCUAAACUUUUUCUUUUUCUUUUGUGUCCCUAAUACAUUUAUUUUUUCUUUUUGGGCUGCUCCGGAAAUUGUUGACAUUGCUCAGAGAGAUGAUUUUCGAUAAUUUUGAUGAACGGCCAACUGCCUAAGGUACUUGAGAUUCGGGGUUCGAUUCCGGGCAGUCACUUUCUUUUUCCUUUCCCCUCUCUUCAUGACUUCAUCUAAUCCAGCCUUAGAUAAAAAAUUAAAAAAAUUAGUUGUAUAAUGAUAUACUGGAAGGAAGAAAAGUAUGAAAUACUAUCUCAUCUCAAGAAAAGGUCUUACCAAAACUCCACAUCUAUGUGGAAAAUGCAUAUGGUAGACUUGCUUAAGGACAAGAAAAUUGAGAAGUGGCGAGUAGUUGUUGUAGAAUCAAUCAUUGAUUGAAUUGUGAAGAAAUAAUUUACAAAGAUUACAAGGAACAUUUACUAGUUCAACCAAAAAUAGCUAUCAAGAGGCAUCUUUCCCACAUAUCCUUCCACCACCACAGAAGAAACAAGUUUCCAUCUUUCUAGUUAGCUCAUACAGUUUGGUAAUCCUUUCGCGAUAAUUAUGGCAGUUUGUUACCACAUAGCUGCAGCCAUCUUGGCACUUGUUUUUACUUGUUGAUGCAUCUGAUCCAGGUCCAUUGCAGGAUUUCUGUGUCGCAAUUCCUGAUGCCAAUCCUGGCGGUGGUUGUUUGGAUAGAGUAUUAUUUGAAAUAUUAUUUGGAAUAAUUACUGUAACACUUUUUGUGAUGUGAUGUAUGUGAGAUAAAAAAGUAAUUAAGAAUAUAAAAAGGUAGAUUGAAAAAUGUGUUUAUGACGUAAGCGAAAUAUUAUUUAGAAUAAUUUCACUAUCCAAACAAACCUAUUUUGGAAAAUUUCAUUACUGUCUUGUUUGUUGGGUGUGGGCCAGUCCAUUUGUGGGCCAAUUCAAAAUCCAAGUUACCAAACCUAUUAUUAGGACUUGAGGGUUUUCAAGUAAAAAAGAAUAGGAGCAGCCAUGAAGCAUUCUUUCUUUGUGUGAGAAAAGCUACAGCCGUCACUUUUGCUUGCUUGGAGAAAAACGAAAAGAGAGAGAGAGAGAAAAGAAGUUAGAGAAAGAGAGAAAAACUUCAAGAUCUUGAUUGGAGAGUGAUUCGAAAUCCGACUGAAACAAAAUUUUACCCACGCUAUCCUCUCGUCAAACUCUACUUAUCUACUAGUUCAGAUCUUGGAUUUCCUCCUCACUUGGUAACAUUUUUCCAAACCCACUUCUUUGACAGUUGUAGAUUUUUGGGGUGAUUUUAUAGCGAUUUGACUUAAUUGAUAUUGGUGGUAUUAUUGUCAUCUGGAUAUUUCAGAUAGACAUGUGUAUUUCGAUUAUUGUGAUAGUGGAGAUUUUUUGACUGGAUUAGAUCCCAUGAUUUUUCCCAAUUUGGGUUUUUUAUGUUAAAAUUUUGGUGUCCUGUGUCUUUUAUUUUUCCUGCAUUUUAUUAUCACUACUGGCAUUGUUACUUGGUGAUUUGAUUUAUUCCUAUUUUAGCGAGUACUUGGGGAAAGAGUAAUUUAUCCUGAGCUAACUCUGAUUUGUGUGCCUGCACCAGUACUCCAUCCCUUAAAAAAAAAAGACUUUUGCUCAUCCAAAUGGUAGUCCGUAUUACCAUUUCCUUCCUGCUAUUCCAUCUUACUAAGGUUGUGUUUUCAAGAUGUGCGAAUUUUUCUUUCAUAGGCAACCUAAGUUGUUACCUUGGUCAUCUUCCGUGACUCCUUGUAGCAAUUGGCUUGGAAUCCUAUGUAACAAAGCCAAAAGAUUAUCAGUUACAAACAUCAAUAGUUCCGAAAAUGCACUCUAUGGUGCCAUGCUAUGCAAACAUCUGUUUGAUAACUUAAUUCAAUACUUAACUUAAUGGAUUCAGAUCUUAAUAUAUUCAGAUAUGUUUGAUAAUAAAAAAUUGAAUAUCUAAAUUAAUUGAAUGGCACUGAAUUUCCUAAAUAAGACUUGCUCCAAAAAAUAAGUGAUAAAGUAUUUAUUUAUCAUUGAAUGUGAUAUACACUCAAAUGCAUUUGAUUUAAUACUUAACAAUUCAAUAAUUUAAUAGAUUUAGACAUCAUAUUUUUAAUUUCAGAUUUCAGUUUUUAGACUUUAGUUUUAUUCAAUGCACCCUGAGUUUCUCAAUCCCUUCUUCUUUUGGAAACCUAGCCAACUUAGCCCUUCUAUACCUUAGUAACAACAAAUUUACAGGACACAUUCCUUUAGUGCUCAAAAGAAUGGUAAUAAAAAAGAUCAAGUUGCUGAUUCCUUAAUACUGGUUUAGAAGUUUGAACUGAAACUAUGCAUUAAAUGUAAUUUCAAUGAUCUUAUUUAAUUUGUAUACUUUAUCCAAUUGUGAUAGCAUUCUUUUUCAACUUUGUAGAGACAAAAGAUCAUUCAUCCCUGAUAUGAAGUAUUACAUAAGAUGAAGUUGAAAUUUUCUGAGAUUGUGUUAAGUUGCAUUUUUUUUUCAUAGAUUUUCAUAAGAAAACAAAGAGUUCUAAUAUUCAAAAAUACAAUUUACUAAUAUUUUACUUAUAUUAAGGUACUUUAGGUAUUAUGGUUGGACCGGGAUGUCAAUGAGGGACGAAGGAACCAAUAAACACCUCACCAUCUACAUCAAUUGUUCCACUUCAAAAUGUAAAUGAUUCUAAUAAUGGAGUGGCGAGCAAUGAAUCGGAUGCCUCUAAAAAAAUUUCAAUUGAACUUGAUUCAAAUUCUAAAGAACUGGAGACCCAUACUUCUACUUCUGGUACAUGUUUUUUCCUUUAGUAUCCAAUUUUCUAAUUUAUUAUUUGUUUUUUUCCCAAUAGUGUUCAUCUUCUUAUUAGUCUAGCUCAUAGAAAGAUCAUGUGAAUUGCGAAUUGCUAGGUAGCUACAUAUUUCACAAAGUUAUAAACUACAAAGUAUUUUAUUAAUAUAAAUACCAAAAUAAAGAGUUCGCUCGUGAUUUGUUGGAAGGAACGAAAUUUAGAGAGAGAGAGUUUUGGGAAGAUUUUCUUUAUUUCUCCGAUGCAGACUAAUGAUGGUACCGAUGCCUAUUUAUAGGCUUUACACAAGAAGGUCAUUGAUUAUCCUAUCACCUAUCAAUCACUAACAGAUAUCUAUCAACCACUAAUAGAUAACAAUCAUUCCUAUCAUAUCUCUAAUUGAUAUACAUUCAAACAUUAAGAAUAUUCACGAAUCUUAUCUGAUACCAAUUACAAUUCAAUCCAACACUCCCCCUCAAGUUGGUGCAUAGAUGUCAUGCAUGCCCAACUUGCCGAGUGAGUUGUAAAAGUCCUUAGUCGGCACGGCUUUUGUGAGUAUAUCAGCUAGUUGAUCUUCAGAUCUCACAAACGGAAGCCGUAUUAUUUUUUCUUCAAGAUUCUGCUUGAUAAAGUGCCGAUCGACCUCAACAUGCUUAGUGCGAUCAUGUUGAACUGGGUUAUGGCUGAUAUCGAUAGCAGCUUUGUUGUCACAAAAUAAGUUCAUCUCAGAUCUAGGAGAAAAACCGAUAUCGGCCAUCAGCCGUUUGAGCCACAGAAGCUCACACAUACCUCUAGCCAUGCCUCUAAAUUCAGCUUCUGCACUUGAUAAUGCUACCACCUUUUGUCUCUUGCUUCUCCAAGUAACUAGAUUACCACCGACGAAUGUAAAGUAACCUGAGGUUGACUUUCGAUUGGUAGCAUCUCCUGCCCAAUCGGCAUCAGUGUAACCAUCAAUAUUAAGAUGACCAUUUUUGGAAAAUAAGAGACCCUUCCCAGGAGAACCCUUUAAGUACCGAAGAAUUCUCAUCACAGCUUCCAUGUGCCGAUUACUGGGUGAAUGCAUAAAUCGGAUGACCACACUGACAGAAUAGGCAAUAUCGGGCCGAGUAUGUGACAAGUAGAUCAGCUUACCGACCAAUCUUUGAUAUCUCUCUUUGUCAGUUGGUUUCUGAUAUGGAUAUUCUCCUAACUUGUGGCUUAGCAUAAUUGGCGUGUCAGCAGGUUUGCAAUCCAGGAGCCCAACCUCUGCCAACAGAUCAAGUACAUACUUCCUCUGGGAUAGGACGAUGCCUUGUGCCGAUCUUGCCACUUCAAUUCCCAGGAAAUACUUGAGAUUCCUUAAACUCUUCAUUUCAAAUUCAGCCGCCAGCUGGUUUUGUAGUUUGGAGAUUUCCUCUUCAUCAUUGCCUGUGAUAAUCAUAUCAUCGACAUAAAUUAUUAAGGCAGUUACCUUUCCAUGCCGAUGUUUUAGGAAAAGAGUAUGGUCGGCAUUACUCUGCUGAAAACCAUACUUCUUCAUAGCUAGCGUAAAACGGCCGAACCAAGCACGUGGUGACUGUUUGAGUCCAUACAAUGCUUUCUGUAAUCGGCACACAGUAUUUGUUUUCGAUACUGUAGAACACCCUGGUGGGAUAUCCAUGUAGACUUCCUCCUCCAGAUUCCCAUGCAGGAAAGCGUUCUUCACAUCAAACUGAUGCAACGGCCAAUCCAAAUUUGCCGCAAGAGAUAUCAGUACUCUGACCGUAUCCAAUUUAGCCACUGGUGAAAAAGUUUCUUGGUAAUCGAUGCCAUAGGUCUGAGUGUAUCCUUUAGCCACGAGACGAGCUUUAUAUCUAUCGAUUGAUCCAUCAGCCUUAUACUUGAUUGUGAAAACCCAUUUGCAUCCCACCGUCCUCUUCCCAUCUGGUAAUAGGACCAAAGUCCACGUGUCAUUUUUUUGCAAUGCCGACAUCUCAUUCUUAAUUGCUUGAGUCCAGUUUGGAUCUUUGAAAGCAGCAUGCACAUCUUUUGGAAUGUUAGUUGACGACACAUUAUUCACAAAGGCUUCAAGAGGUUCAGAUAGCCUGUGAGUGGACAUAUAAUUGGCAAUGGAAUACUUUGAUCGCUUUGCAUGACUUUCUGGAGAGUACCGAGUCGGUGGCUUACCUCGAUUGGAUCUGUCAGGUAAUACAUAUCUUGCAGUAGUAUCUAACAUAACAUUAGAAUCAGCAGGAGUACUUACCUCAGGAACAUUCUCAGGAGACAUGCAGUUAGGUACUGAAGAGGGAGGGAUUAUAUCAACAAUUUCAUCAGUAGCAUCAGCAUUUCCAUCGGCAGCUCCUCCAUCGACGGCUCCACGGACAAAAUCAAUAGGACAGCUAGCAACCGUACUUUCAUCAGCAGCUUUAUCGAUUCCAUCGGCAGUGGGCUCCGUGGGCUCGGCAAUGGGAGAAACAGUAGCUUCACCGACAGAAUCAGUGGGACAGCACGGCCAUGCUAAUCCUGGCCAAUUCUUUUCUUCUGUAUCCCUUAUCUCCCCCUGAAGGGAAGAAUUGGAUGCCGAGGAGAAAAAUGUGUCCGACUCCAAGAAUGUAACAUCCAUGGUUUCAUACAUCUUGCUAGUGGUUGGAUCAUAGCACCGAUAGCCCUUCUUGUGCACUGCAUACCCCACGAAGACACAACGAACAGCACAGGGAUCAAGCUUACUUCGUUGAUUCUUGUGCCGAUGAACAAAUGCUACACAACCAAACGCCCGUGCCGGAAGCAUUAGAACCGAUGGUAGAGUGAAAUGUUGAGACAGUGCUUGCAGCGGUGUCUGGAAGUGGAUAACUUUUGAAGGCAGUCUAUUCAAUAAAUAGACUGCUGUUGUGACUGCAUCAUUCCAAUAUCGGCGAGGAACAUGGGCACCAAUCAGUAAUGCUCUUGCUAUUUCAAGGAUAUGUCGAUUUUUUCUUUCAGCUACUCCAUUUUGCUGUGGAGUUUGGGUGUAUGAUGUUUCAUGUAUAAGACCAUUGAUAUUAAAGAACUCUUGUAGUGGCCGAUUAACAUACUCACCACCAUUAUCAGAUCGAAGAAUCUUGACUGUUGCUGAAAACUGUGUAUGAAUCAUGGAACAAAAUGACUUGAAAAUAUCAAGAACUUCAUUCUUAUGUUUCAACAAAUACAACCAAGUCAUUCGAGUACAGUCAUCUACGAAAGUUACAAACCAACGGACUCCAGUAGAUGAAGUGAUCGGGGAUGGUCCCCAAACAUCAGAAUGUACUAAAGCAAAAGGUGUAUUCGACUUAUUCAAACUGACAGGAUAUGAGGCCCUAUGACUUUUGGCUAAUACACAGGUCUCAAAUUUUAAAUCGGCAGUUUUGAUACUCGAAAAAAGUGCUGGAAAAAGGUGCUUCAUAUACCCAAAAGAAGGAUGUCCUAGUCGUUGAUGCCACAAUCGAAUCUCUCGUUCUUUGGUGUUAUCGGUACUCCUUGUCUGAUUGGCUCUACCGAUACUGAAAUCAUCAAUGUAAUAUAGAUCCCCCCUCCUAGUACCACGACCGAUUAUCUCCUUUGUGAGAAUUUCCUGAAGAAGACAGAAGGUUGGAUACAUCAGUACCAUACAGUUAAGAUCAGUAGUUAUUUGACUUACUGAUAGUAACUUAUUUGACAGUGAGGGAAUCAAUAAAGUAUUCGGUAGAGAUAAAGACGGAGAUAAAGUAACAGUUCCAGCUCCUGUAACUGGAUACUGCACACCAUUAGCAUUGGAAAUUUUCGACCGUCGUGGUUGAGUUACGGAUGAGAAGUCAGUUGGAUCAUAGGUCAUAUGAUCAGUGGCUCCUGAAUCGACAAUCCAAUUACUAUCGCGUCGAUGUGAGGAGUUCAUACCUUGAUGCUGAUUGGUAGAAGACGUAGAGUGCACCUGGGCAAUAUUGAUAUCAGCAACUGCAACGGCCACCUUUCCGUUCUGACCAGCAACAUUCAGUCGAUCAGCUUGCCAAUUUCGCCCUUUGCGCUCUUUCCACCAUGUUGGAUAUCCGUGCAGCUUGAAGCACGUAUCUUGUGUGUGCCCUUUCUUAUUGCAGUGGGCACAAUUAACUUCCUCAGUUGGCAUCUCGGCUCGGGGUACUAAAAUCGGCUCAUUCUUCCUUCCCUUGGAAGCCAUGACAGAGCCGAUUGAGUGGUCUCCCCCUGUCAUCAUCACCGAUUGUCUGCUGUCUUCUCGUCGGACAUAGGCAUAUGCCUCUUCUACUGUUGGAAAUGGUUUCAUCCGCAGAACAUCACUGCGAAUCUGGUCUAGUCGGUCAUCUAACCCAUCGAGGAAAGUGUAGACUCUCUCUUCCUGUAUGAGAGAAUUAUACCUGCUGAUAUCGGCAGCACAUUCCAUCGGGUUCGGCCGACGAAAAUCAAUCUCCCUCCACAAACCUUGCAAAUCGUUGUAGUACUUUUCGAUCAGUCCACCAGCUUGUCUCAGUCUAGUCACCUUCCGCCUCAGAUCAUACAGUUGGGAUGUAUCGGUUCCAUCAAAGUAUGUGGUAGCAAUAGCAUCCCAUACUGCUUUUGCUGUGGGAAAACGAACGAAGGUACCGAUCAAGGAUGGAGCCAUAUUAUUUAUCAACCACCCUUUCACGAUAGAGUCUUCAAUUCGCCACCGUCGAUACGCUGGAUCUGUUGGUGACGGCUGAGGGAGUUCACCAUUAAUAUACCCCAAUUUGUCCUUCCCUGAGAUAUACAUCUCGACAAUUUGGGACCAUAAGGCAUAGUUGGUAUCAUCCAACUUGAUGCCGAUCUGAGCCGAAGACGAAUCCAUGCUCGGUGUAGACUUCUGGCAGCUAUUCAGGACUUCCACCAUCCGAGUGGCAAAAUCCUCUAGAACUACGUCAGCUUGUCCUUUCCCACCGUCCGUGAGCGUAGACGAUUCGGCCAUGGCUGGUUGUUGAAGAAAUUAUCAGAGUAACACUUUGGAGCAGAGAUCCUAGAAUCCCUGCUCUGAUACCAUGUUGGAAGGAACGAAAUUUAGAGAGAGAGAGUUUUGGGAAGAUUUUCUUUAUUUCUCUGAUGCAGACUAAUGAUGGUACCGAUGCCUAUUUAUAGGCUUUACACAAGAAGGUCAUUGAUUAUCCUAUCACCUAUCAAUCACUAACAGAUAUCUAUCAACCACUAAUAGAUAACAAUCAUUCCUAUCAUAUCUCUAAUUGAUAUACAUUCAAACAUUAAGAAUAUUCACGAAUCUUAUCUGAUACCAAUUACAAUUCAAUCCAACAUGAUUCAGUUAUUGCUUUAUUAGCAUUCUCUUUUCAUCCCUCCUAUGUUUUCUUUACAUAGGGAUCACAUCAAAGAAGAGAGGUAGAGGUCCAAAUAGAGGGAUAGAACUAUCAAGAUGAGUUGAGAAAAAAGGAACGUUAGACAUACUGAUUCCUGAAGGUCUAAACAAAUCGAUAGGAAAGAACCAUAUUAAGUUGCCAAGAGAAAUUAGAUUUCUUGUUUCUGGUUAGGAGUCUUGCAACAAUGCGAGUUGCAAAUUGGUCUGAAGUUGAAGCUAAUCAGAAGAAGAAGAUAAUUAAGACUCUACUAGUAAAUCUUUAUUUGGUGCAUUGUGCUCUGUUUUUCAAUUUUAUUGUUCACAUGGAAUUAAAAUAUUUAAUCUUUUUCAUAAAAAACCAUUCUUUUCUUUUUUGUUUUCAAUUAUAUUGUUUAUAUCUUGUUUAUUAUUUCACAGAAGGCUAAAUCUAGUUGUAUGCUAGUAAGUUACUCUUAUGUUCUUUGAAUUAAAAAUUUCAUUUUACAAAAUAAGUUCAACUUGGAUUUGACCAAAACCCAUGUUAAGAGCUACAUAGAAGAUACUAUGAAGAGGGCAUGGCAAGAUUGUCGUUCCAAGGCUCAUUUGCACUGCAAAGCUUUAGGUUGUGGAGAAAGUGGAAGACAAAAUCCAUAUAAAAUUUUUCUAAACCGUCCAAUUGAUUGGCAAUGGUUGUGUGAUUAUUUUAAUUUUGAAGCAUUUAAGGUAACUAUUAUUGGACCUUUAUUUUCAAGUAUUUUUAAAGAUUAUCUUUGACAUCCAUUGAUUUUAAAUGAGAUUAUUAUUUAUAUUCUCUGCAGAAAAUUUCUAUAAGGAAUUCACAAAAUAGGGCUUGUCCAGAACCAGUUUUUGGAAGAGCAGUUAGACAAGCCCUAUUUUGUGAAUUCCUUAUAGAACUUUCAGCAAAGAAUGUAAAUAACAAUAUCUUUUAAAAUCAAUGGAUGUCAAAUAAAAUUUUUAAAAAGUAUUUGAAAAUAAAGGUCCAAUAAUAGUUAUCUUAAAUGCUUAAGAAUCAAAAUAAUCAUACAACCAUUUCCAAUCAAUUGGAUGGUUUAGAAAAAUUUCAUAUAGAUUUUGUCCACCAUUUUCUCUACCCCUAAAACUUUGUAGUGCAAAUGAGCCUUGGAAUGACAAUCUUGCCAUGCCCUCUUCAUAGCAUCUUCUAUAUAGCUCUUAACAUGGGUUUUGGUCAAAUCCAAAUUGAACUUAUUCUGUAAAAUAAGAUUUUUAAUUAAAAGAACAUAAGAGUAACUUACUGGCACACAACUAGAUUUAGCCUUUUGUGAAAUAAUAAACAAUAUAAUUGAAAACAAAAAAAAAGGAAGUGAUUAUCAUGAAAAAGAUUAUAUAUUGUAAUUCCAUGUGAACAAUAAAAUUGAAAAACAGAGCACAAUGCACCAAAUAAAUAUCUACCAGUAGAGUCUUAAUUAUCUUCUUCUUCUGAUCAACUUCAACUUCAGACCAAUUUGCAACUCGCGUUAUCGCAAUACUCCUAGCAAGAAAUACAAUUUCUCUUGGCAACUUAGUAUAGCUCUCUCCUAUUGGUUUGUUUAUAACAUCAGGAAUCAGUAUGUCUAACUUUCCAUUUUUCUCAACUUGUCUUGACAGGUCUAUUCCACUAUUUGGACCUCUACCUCUCUUUUUGAUGUGAUCCCAAUGUAAGAAAAACAUAGGAGAGGUGAAAAGAGAACAUUAAUAAAGGAAUAACUGAAUUACAAGCGAACUCUUUAUUUUAGUAUUCAUAUUAAUAAAAAUAUUUUGUACUUUAUCACUGUUGUGAAAUAUGUUACUACCUAGCAAUUUGUAAUUCAUAUGAUUUUUCAAUGACUAGACUAAUAAGAAGAUCAACACUAUUGGGAAAAAACAAAUACAGUAAUAAAUUAGGAAUUUGGAUACUAUAGAAAAAACAUGUACCAGAAGCAGAAAUAUGGGCCGUCGUUUCUUUAGAAUUGGAAUCAAGUUCAAUUGAAACAUUUUCAAAGACUUCGGAUGCAUUGCUCACCACUCCAUUAUUAGAAUCAUUUGCAUUCUGAAGUGGAACAAUUGAUGUAGAUGGUGACAUAUUUGUAGGUUCCUUCACCCUAGUUGAUGUCCCGGUCCAGCCAUAAUAUCCAAAGUACCUUAAUAUAAGUAAAAUAUUAGCAAAUAGUAUUUUUUGAAUAUUAGAACUCUUUGUUUUCUUAUGAAACUCUAUUAAAAAAAUGUGUAACAUAACACAAUCUAAGAAUUUUUCAACUUCAUUUUAUACAAUACUUCAUAUUAAGGACGAAUGAUCUUGUCUCUCUACAAAGUUGAAAAAGAAUCAUGUCUCAAUGCAACUUUAGCAAAAUGUAUAGAAGUUAUCGCAUGGCCUAUGCAAAUUUCACGGACCAUCCAAUUGAUUUACGACUUAAUGCUAGCCAGAAAAAUGUACAAGCAUUUGGAUAGUGAACAAGUUAGUGAAUAAAAGAAGCAAGCAACAAAUUUUAUGCAAAUUUAUUUUGUUCUUUUUAAUUCUUAGUGAUAGUGAAGCAUGUGCAAAAGUUGUGAAUGGAAUAUCUAAAUAAGAUGCAGUUUUUAUUCUACUGACCCACGAACAAGGGAAACGACACAAUUUCUUGUCAACUAUUUUUACCCUCCUCUUUUGUCUGCUUCCACAGUCCAAACCAAAUCCAAGAAUAUAGAAAGAGUAAAAAAACGUCAUGUUUCUGUGUUUUCCCCCCUCACUCUAGUAAGGCAAGACCUAGAUCCAUCCAUUUACCUCUCUCGUAGCAAAAAGUACCACUUAUUACUUUACUUCUCUUAGAUAAUUGUUCCAGUUUAAAAUAAGAGAUCAAACAGUAAUAGAAAUACACCAGCGCUUUACAUGAAUGAUCACCAUAUUUAGAUAUCUGACAUGGUAUUUUAGUUGCAAAUAAUCCAUGCCUUUCAAGAGAAUGAAAGAAAUUGCAAAGAUUAAAAAAAAACAGUGUAUAAAAGGUAAACAUAGACAACGGCUCAUUAGCAAACUCAUUGUUUAGCAUUACAGAGACUUGGACUGCAAACGAGUCAAGUCGAGUCGAGUUUUGGUCUAAUCGAGUUGAGUCUUGACAUAAUUUUAGUGAACUCGAACUCGACGAGCCAAUAAUUUAAAGCUCGAGCUUGAACUCGACUUGAUUCAAGCUCGAACUCGAAAAAAAUAAAAAAUAAUUAUUUUAUUUUUUUAAAAAUAAAUAAUAUAAUAUUUUUUCUUAAUAAAUAAUAAAAUAUUAAGGAUAUAUAUGUAAUUAUACUAUUAAAAUAAAAAAUAAAAAAUAUAUAUACUUAAAAUAAAAAAAAUAAAAAAUAUAUAUAUACUUAAUAUAUAUAUAUAUAUAUAUAUAUACUCGACCGCGAGCCGACUCGGGAGCUAACGAGUUUAAUAUUUUGAACUCGAGCUCGAGUCGAGCUGCUCGCGAGUCUCGAUCUCGAUUCGUUUGCAGCCCUAACAGAGAGUCUGCAAUGAAUCUAAGUUUCAAUAAUGUCAUAGUCUAUUUCUCUCAAAGUCCAUUAUGUAUUUAUGUAACGCACCUAAAGUCAGACAGUCCAAACAAAGCAACAAUCUCAAUAAGAUGGAAUAGCAGGAUGUUAGGGUGGCUGUUUAUAUUUAACUUUUGGUGAAAACUAUCACAUAUUAAACCCAAAAUCUAUAUAGCGAUUAUUAAGAAAUAAAUUAACAGUAAAAUUGCGGAAGCGUAUUUUGAUUCAUGUUGACAAACUGGUAUUUGAAUCCUUAGAGAUUUUGGGGUGGCCUUCCAAAUUAACAUGUAUUUGCCAAUCCUUAAGAGAGUUCUUUAAUUUCUUUCUGGUAUUUUUUCUGAUGAUGGGAUAUCAAAAAAGAAUUAUUUUAUCAUACUAGAAAAUACGAUAAUAAAAAUACAUUUGACUUGGGGACCAUAGUCCUAUUCAUAGAUAACAUUCCUGUUACCUUUUAGAUUCUUAUUUCAACUCAUCAUAGAAUAUGAAAUACACUUAAAUCUCUAUACGUUAAAAGCCCACACCUUAUUAGAUACAUCAAGUUCAAACCAUAUUUGAUCACUUUAAUUGGAUUUAACCUUAUUUGAUAGUUUACAACACAUAAUUAUUCACAUAUAAAUCCAACAUUGGAUUAAGGAUCCAACAAUCUCCCACUUGGACUAUAUGUGUAACCUUAUAAUUAUGUUUUGUAAUUAAUUAUAUGAGUUCAAUUUUACUAUCAUUACCAAGGUAUAUCGAUAGUAAAUUCGAUCCAUUAAUUACACCAACAUACGAUCAAAGUGGCAUUUGCUACAAUUUCGUAACUCGACCCAUCAAUGAUCACGUAUAUUGAUAUAAUUGAAUGACAUGAAUCAUGAUGUGGAUGUGUAGCUAAAAAUUUCAUGUAAUGUGAUCAUAAUAUGUCUAUUUUCAACUGGUACACCUUAAAUUUUCAUGAGAUUAAACCAUACCAAAAUCAGAGUGUAAAUAAAUUUAAACUUUAUUUAUGCAUAAAAUAUUUUUAAAACAUUAAUAAAUGAAAAAUAUAGUAAGAGCAUUUAAAAUAAUAAACUCUCACUAAAACUGUACAUCAUUUAAUAACAUGAUACCCAUACGAGCAGUAUGCUCAUGAAAUAUUUUGGGUGGCAAUCCCUUAAUAAGCGGAUCCACAACCAUGGAGUUUGUCCCGAUAUGCUCUAUUGAUAACUAUCCAUUCUGUACUUUUUCUUUAACAGUCAAGAACUUGAUAUCUAUAUGUUUAGAUUUUAUCGAAUUCCUGUUAUUAUUGAAAUAUAGAAUUGCUGACUUAUUGUCACAAAAUAAUUUGAGUGGUCUUUCAAUACUAUUCACUAACGUAAUUCUAUGAAAAAAUUUAAUAGCCAAAUUUCAUGGUUUGAUACCUCAUAGCAAGUUAUAAAUUCUGUAACCAUAGUAGAAGAUACUAUAAGAGACUGUUUAACACUUUUCCAAGAUAUGACACCCCCAAUUAGCCAAUAGAUAUAGUCUGACGUUGAUUUCAUGCUAUCUUGACAUCUAACAUAAUCGAAAUCAGUAUAUCCAAUGAUUUCGAAUUUAUCUGACCUCCGAUACGUGAGCAUGUAAUCUUUUAUUUUCUGUAAAUAUCACAAGACCCGUUUGAUUACCUUCCAAUGAUCUAAUCCAAGAUUGGUUAAAUAUCGACCCAAUAUCCCAAUAAUAUACGCAAUAUUUGGACGUGUACAUACUUGAGUAUAUAUAUUAGACUCCCUACUGCUGAUACAUAAGGAAUUCUUUGUAUUUUCUUUUUUUCAAAAGCAUUUUUAGAACACUAGUCGAGACUAAAUUUGUCUCCUUUAGCCACAGGAGUGUUACCUGAUUUAUAAUUUUGCAUGUCAUAUUUUUUAAGAAUCUUUUCGAAAUGGUCCUUUUGCGAUAGUCCCAAAAUACGCCAAGUGUGAUUUCGAUUUAUCUGUAUGUCUAACACAAAAGAUGUAUCGCCAAAAUUUUUCAUCUCAAAAUUCUUAGUUAGAAAUCUUUUGAUUUCAUACAAUAGACCUAUAUCAUUGUUAGCAAACAAAAUGUCAUCAACAUUUAAUAUCAGAAAAAUAUACUUACAGCCACAGAACAUAUGGUAUAUACAAUCAUCUACUAAAUUCAUGUCAAAAUCAAAUGAGAUGAUCAAUUGAUGAAAUUUGAAAUACCAUUGUCGAGACUCUUAUUUGAGCUCAUAGAUAGAAUUUUUAAGUUUACAAAUCAUAUUUUUUGGAUCUUCUGAUACAAAAUUUUCUGGUUGCAUUAUGUAAAUCGUUUUAUCAAUAUUACCAUUGAGAAAUACUAUUUUUACAUCCAUCUGGUGUAACUCAAAAUUGAAAUGCGCCACUAAUGCCAUGAUAAUUUUAAAAGAGUUCUUUGAAAAGAUUGGAAAGAAGAUUUCUUUAUAGUCGAUACCUUCUUUUUGUGUAAAUUUCUUAGAAACAAGACAAGUUUUGUAUCUUUUUACAUUAUUUUUUGAAUUUCUUUUGAUUUUAAAUAUUCAUUUACAAUUAAUAGGUUUCGCACCUUUUGGCAAUGGGACAAAAUCCCAGGCAUCAUUGCCUUUCAUGGAUUUAAUCUUUUUAUUCAUGGCAUCGAUCCAUUUUUUAGAAUUUAAAUUUUUCAUGGGUUGAUGGAAGUUGAUUGGAUCAUCUUCCAUCAAUCUAGUGUCAUUCUCAUAUUUUUGGAGAAAAAUAAUGUUAUCAUCUGGCACUGCAUUUCUCUUUUUUCUAGUGAAUUUUCUUAAUAGCACUGGUUCUUUAAGGGGGAGAGUUUGUUCUUCAAUAACAAUUUAUUUUUCGAUAUUGUCUUGAUUUGUUAUGUUAUGAUCAAGGUCAGGAAUGCAGUGCCAGAUGUAAUCAUCUGGCACUGCACUUCUAAAAGAUCAGAAAUAAGCUUUCUUUAUAAUUGAUACUUUCCUUUUGUAUAAAUUUCUUAGUAACAAGACGAGUUUUGUAUCUUACUACAUUGCCUUUCGAAUCCUUUUUAAUUUUAAAUAUUCAUUUACAAUUAAUAGUUUCGCAUCUUUUGGCAAUGGGACAAGAUCUCAGACAUCAUUGUCUUUCAUGGAUUUAAUCUUUUCAUUCAUGGCAUCGAUCCAUUUUUGAGAAUUUCAACUUUUCAUGACUUGACGGAAGUUGAUUGGAUCAUCUUCCAUCAAUCUAGUGCCAUCCUCAUAUUUUUGGAGAAAAAUAAUGUAAUCAUAUGGCACUGCACUUCUCCUUUCUCUAGUGGAUCUUCUUAAUAGCACUGGUUAUUUAAGGGGGAGACUUUGUUCUUCUAUAACAGUUUAUUUUUCGAUAUUGUCUUGAUUUGUUAUGUCAUGAUCAAGGUCAGGAAUGAGAUCAUGAAUAAGAUCAAUGACACCUGUGAAAAUAUUGAUAUAUUCCUCUUUAAAGAUAAGGUUCCUUACUGUAUUUUCUCUUCCAAACUUGACAUUCUCAAAGAAUCGAGCAUUUCCUUUCUCAAAAAUCGAUUUAGUCGUGGGAUUAUAAAACUUGUAAUUUCUGAAUCUUUCAGAAUAUCUAAUAAAAUAACAAUUAACCGUCCUUGAAUCCAGUUUCUUUUCAUUUGGUUUAUAAGGCCUUGUCUUAGUUGGACAUUUCCAAACACGUAAAUGCUUCAAACUAGACUUUUUUCCUGUCCAAAACUCAUAAGGGGUUUUAAUAGUUGCUUUAGUUGGAACACUAUUAAGGAUAUAUGCUGCAAUCUUAAGUGCUUCUUCUCAAAGUGACUUUGGUAAGGUAGAAUAACAUAUCAUACUCCUUAUCAUAUCUUUAAGUGUUCUAUUUCAUCUUUCAACUACACCAUUCAUAGUGGGUAAAUUCGGUAUAGUGUACUAUUGGACGAUACCACAUUCUUCUAGAUAUUUAGCAAAUGGUCCUGAACGUUGUUCAUCUGAACCGUCAUAUCUACCAUAGUACUCACCACCAUGGUUAGAUCUGACGCUUUUAAUUCUUUUGUUGAGUUGGUUUUCAACUGCAGCCAAAAAUUUUUAACACGUCCAGUGACUGUGAUUUUUCAAAAGUGAGAUAUAUGUAAUCAUAUCUUGAAAAAUCGUCUAUGAAAGUUAUAAAAUGUUGUUGACCAUUCCAAACAGAUGUAGAAAAUGACCCACAAAUAUCUAUAUGUAUAAGUUUUAAGACGUCUAAGGACCUAUUGGUUUCAAAUCUCCUUUUAUUGGUUUAUUUUCCCUUUAUACAAUUAACGCAAUCAUCCAAAUUUGUAAAAUUUAAGGGAUCGAGAAUUUCAUUUGAUACAAAUCUUUCCAUUCUCCGUUUGAAGAUAUGUCCCAAUCUUUUGUGUCAUAAUGCAAAUGAAUUUUCAUUGGUGAAUUUUCUCUUUACUCCUCUAGUACUCAAAUGCAGAGAUUUAUUAAAUGAGACAAUUGUAUCAAUUAAAUAUAGAUUAUCGUAGUGCAUCAAAGAACUAGAACCAACUAAUUUUGAAUCAUGAAACAAUUUAAACUUUCCAUUUCCAAAUGAACAAAAUAUUAAAUUUGUCCAAAAUAGAAAUAGAAAUCAAAUUUCGUCGAAGAGACGGUACCACAAAUGUUUCAUUAAAAUCUAAAUAAAAUCUGGUCUUUAAUAAUAGUCUAAAAAUUCCUAUUGUUUCAACUUGAACUGUUUUGCCAUCGCGUACGUAGAUAUAUCUUUCAUUAUCAUUAGGUUCUCGACAAUUCAGACAACCCUACAUAGACACACUGAUAUAAGUUGUUGCAUCAGAAUCUAACCACCAUGUGUGUCGAGAUACCGAAAUUAAAUUAAUCUCAAAACAAACCAAAUUAAGAAGGAUACCUUUCUUAGCACGCCAAGCGUGAUAGUUGGUGCAAUUAUUCUUUUUAUGCCCUUCAGUUCUACAGAAGAAAAAACCAUUCUUUUCUUGAUCAACUGAUUUCUUUUGUUGUUUCUUUUGUGGUACCAUACCUGCAGUUUUUUUAUAUUUCUUUCUGUUAAGUCCCUUGCUUUUGAGACAUUUUCAUCAUGUAUUCUCUGAUAUUACUUUUACCACUAUAUUUUAUUGAAACUAGGCGUGUCAAUAGCGUACUAAUUUUAGUCUUUUCGUUCUUGACAAAUCUUUUUUCAAUGUCAUGAAGGAACUCUUUAGCGGUUACUGUUAUUUCUGACAUUGUUCCUCUGAAUGCUUUUGGAACGGCUUUUUUAAUGAUUAUCAGACACAAGCGAUUUGAUCUCUCCUACUUUUUCUUAUCUCUCUUUUCAUCAAAGGUACUUUGAUUUGUAAGAGUUGGGGAAGAAUCAUCUCUUAACGCAAGGUCGAGAUCCAUUACUUCAAGUACUAUAAAGAGAUUUUCUUUCCAAAACUUGAAAUUUGUGCCAUUCAGCAUAAGAAUAUUAUUGAUGUCAGUAAUAAUAUUCGUAAGAUCAUUCGCAACUGAACACAAAACAUAAAAUAAUUAAAACAACCUCACAUAGACUAAAAUAAUAAUAAAUUCAAAUAAUGGUAACCCCAUCUCAAGAUAUCGAUGUUUCAUUAAUAUUUUAUUUUUAGACAAAAAUAUUAACUUUUAACUGAUAUCUUGGUGCAGUAAUAAAUACUGACAAUAAAAACAUGUCAAAAAAUAAAUUUCCUUUAAGCUAAUUUAUAAUUUACAUAUAAAAAAUCAAAUAAUUAUCACGUAUUUAUUAUCACAAGUGCACAUGUAAUUUUGUUAAACAUUGACUUUUCUUUGGGCUAAUCAAUAUUAGCAAAAUUACAAGUACCCAACUAAUUAUAUUCUAGAACAAAUUAAUUUUCACAAAAGAGGUCACUUUGGUGGCAUAUUGUUUCAAUUAAUUUAUUCUAAAACAUAUAUAAUCAUACCAAUAUUCAAAUUUAAAAUUACACAAAUUACACAAAAAUUUUGAUCAAAGUCAACUCUGGUCAAAACGUGCUAAACUUGGUCAAACCAGUCAAUUGGAUCAAGACUUAUCGGGUCAAAAGUCCAUAUCCAUAAUUUGACCCAAAUUUAUCAUUCAAACCCAAAAUUUUCUUAAAAUCGAUAAAUACCUUAUAAAACUAUAUAUUUAGUGGGCCAAUUUUACGGACUUUAUAAGACUUAAAUAUCUUAUUUAACUUUAUUAUGAUUCAUUUAAAUUAAAGAAACCUUAAUUUUCUUAAUAUAAGUAUAGGCAUAUUAGCUCAAUUAUCCAAGAAAACAAGUCAAAGAAUUCAAGUAUUAACCAAAUUAAUUUUAUGGACAGAACAUUGAAACUCAGAAUGUUUUCUUGUCAAUUUUAAUUCUUAAGAGUAGGGAAAAUGACGAACGACUUCCCAAAACCAAAAACCAAAUUAGCUUACAUCAUAAAAAACAUGCGGAUCCCACAAAACAUCAUUUAUGCUAACCGAUUAAGAGUUUCACAAAAUUGUAUUCAUGCAUUCUUUCUUAUUAAUUUUAAACCUUAAAAGUAGGGAAAUUAAAAGAAACCCCAUAUCUGCUAACUAAAGUUUGACCAAGACGAGAUCCACUGCAUUAUAUGAAACCAAAACAAUGAAUCAACAUAACUGACAUCAUAGCAAUCAUGUGAAAAGCCGAAACAGAAGCCAAAACAUGAAACAAAAAUUGGUUGGCCACGAAUAGGGUCUGGAUUCAUUGGCCAUGCAGCAAAACCAAAAGUAAUUGCAAUUCUUUAUUAAAAAAUCAAAAACUAUGAAUUAUUAAAUCCAAAUUAUUUUCUAAUAAUCAAGCAUAUCCUGCUCUGAUACUACUUGUUAGAGUGGUUGUUUAUAUUUAACUUUUGGUGAAAACAAUUACCUAUUAAAUCUAAAAUCUAUAUUGCGAUUAUUAAAAAAUAAAUUAACAAUAAAAUUACGAAAGCGUACCUUGAUUCAUGUUAACAAACUGGUAUUUGAAUCCCUAGAGAUUUUGGGUUAGCCUUCCAGAUCAACACGUAUUUGCCAAUCCUUAAGAGUACCCUUUAAUUUCUCUCUGGUAUCUUUCUUGAUGAUGGGAUAUCAGGAAAGAGUUAUUUUGUGGUACUGGAAAAUACGAUAAUAAGAAUACGUGACUUGGGGACCAUAACCCUAUUUAUAGAUAACAUUCCUAUUAUCUUUUGAAUUCCUAUUUCAGCUUAUCAUACAAAUAGAAAAUACUCUUAAAUCUCUAUACAUUAAAGGCCCACACCCUAUUAGAUACAUCAAUCCCAAAUCAUAUUUGAUUAUUUUAAUUGAACCUAACCUUAUUUGACAGUUUGUAACACAAUUAUUCACAUAUAAAUCUAACGUUGGAUUAAGGAUCCAACACAGGAAAGAAGUGGUAAUACGGACUACUAUACAACCAUUUAGAUGAGCAAAAUUCUUUUUUUUUUUUAAUAGGGAUAGAUAAGCAAAAGUCAAACAAUAGCAGCUCCAACAAGGCAUUUAACAAACAUAUAAAUUUAAUAUGUCAAUGAAUCUCAAACAAGGAAUUCAACGUGUUUACACAAGAUUAGGAACCCAAUUACAAGUCAGAAACUCCUGGGAGAAUAUCUAAAAAAAGGGAAGGCUUAUUUUAUAGAAGUAAUGAAUACUUACCUUUGAGAAGUGGGGAAAGAGGGAAUUAAGUUCGGAGACAAUGGAUAUAAAUAUGCUCUUAAUCUUUGAGCCGGAAAAUCCAUUGCAAUUUGUCUGCCAAAUUUUUGAUGGCAAUUGGAAUGUUUUUGGAGGGAUGAAAUACUAGGGAGAAUGUUUUCGGAGGGAGAAUGCAUUAAGGAGAAUUUACGAUAUUUUCCUAUCAUCUUGUAGGGUUUUAAGCAUGACUAUACCCGGUUUUAAGCAUGAAUAUACUUCGAGGUUAUGUAACUAAAGAAAAGUCAUUUUUUGCUUUUUAUGUUUGAACAUAAAUUCAUCCCAUUGGUACCUUUUUAUAUAUUAAAUAAGGAUUGCUUAAAAUUAAUGGUGAUUAUAUGUCAAGCAUGGAAUAGUAUUAACAUUAUUUCUUUAGUGUGACUAUACCUCCAAGUUACGUAACAAAAGCAAAGUCAUUUUUUUUCUUCUUAUGUUUGAGCAUAAAUUCGUCUUGGUUCGUAUCUUUUUAUAUAUUGGAUAAAGAUUGCUUAAAAUUAAUGGUGAUGGUAUGUCAAGCAUGGAAUAAUACUGAUCUAAAGUCAAGAAUUAGAGGUCCUAGAUUUUAAUCUCCUGUCCCGCUCGUUUCUUAAAUCCUAUCCCUCAAGACCCAGCUUGGAAAAAAAAACAAAAUCUAAAGUCAGUUUUUUUUUAAAAAAAAAUCUAAAGUCAGCAUAGAGCAUGCAAAUUAUUAUGGGAUAAUUUCAGAAACUUCCACUGAGAUUUAUGACAAUUUCAUUGUGCUCCAUUGAGCUUUUAAAAUUACACCGACCUCUCCUAAUUUGACACUUUAAAUAGUACUUUAUUAGCGACAUAGAUUCUUUAUAAGAUGGGAAAGAAAGUGGCACCAUAAUUUGUUAAAGUUUGUGGAUUAAUCAGAUGGUGUAACUGCCAUAGUUUUUGUUUGUGAUUUUGGACCAUUUUAUUUGUCAUUGUUGAUUUUUUUAUUUUGAUAAAGAAAAGCUAGAAGAUGAUAUUCAAAGUUAUAAUGAAAAAAUGUUACUAUUUUCGCAUUUGACCACGACAGAGGCCAAGGACAACAUCAAUAUUUUUGUGGUUUAACUGAGUAUUCUUAUAAUAACUAAGUUGUGACUGUCCUCACUCUUCGUUAUUGUGGAUUAUUACUCAUUAAAAAUUUCUUUAAUUAUGUUGGUGAGUAAGGCAACUAUUUUUAGCUAGAAAUUUUCUUCUAUGAAAUGUUAAAAUGUAAACUAAUAAAAUUUAGUUUGACCCCUCCAACUUUAUUGCCAUGAUUUAAAUACAACUAAUAUUACACAAUAAUAGGAAAUUACUUGUAAUGAAGUGGGACAUUUAGUUCUUAAUGUAUAAAAUUCAUCUCAAAUUAAUCCAUAAAGUUAAAAUCAUAUCUACUUUUAGACUCCAAAAUAUAAAACUAGUCCUACUUUAGUCCCUAAAAUACAAAAUAAUUCUUGCAUAGGUAUAUAGUUUGUCUCACUUCCUUCAAAUUUUUUUUUUUUACUUAAGUGGGAUAUAUUUUAUACCUUUGCGUCUUAAAUGUUGAACUAGGGACUUCUUUGUCAUCAAACUAAUAUUCUCACCAAGAAAGUUGGGACUUGGGAUACCCAUGUAAGACUUAAAAUCUCUCUUAGAAGGAAAAAAAUGUCAUUAAAUUUUUUUGAGUCUCCCUAAGUUCUAAUUAGAAUAGAAAAUAUUGUUGUAUUAUGAGUGUCUUGAUAAGUGUUUAUUAAAUAGGUUUUUAAGUAGCAUUAGUUGUUUACUUUUGGUAUAAAUUAGGAUUUUGCAGUGUAACUUGCUCUCUAAGUCUCUAAAUUUUGCGAAUUUCAUUUGAGCAGUUUAAUCUGCAAAUUUGAUUAUAUUUGCAAGAUUUGAGAAGUGUUAUAAACGUUGGAUCAAGAAGGAUUCAUUCAACUCCAUUAGUGCAUGAUUCAAUGAUGAUUUGGAAAGUAAUCGGGCGUCAAAAGCAAGUAUUAUUGGUGCAACACGUGUACAAAAAUGUGGAGCCCUUGUUUUUUUAUCUUAGUGGUGAAUUGGAGCAGAAAAGAAUCAAGAAAACAUCACUGAACUGAAAAUGUGACCUCUAUUUUCUGCAAUUUAUUCUGCAACUUGUCCUAUUUUCACACAAUUUGCUAGCUCAAUUCCAGCAAAGAAUUUCGGCUGCACAUGCUCAAGAAUAUUUUGGGAAGUGCAUAGGAAGCUUUAUGUCAUUUCAUUAAGCACUUUUGACUCUUUUAACAAUUAUAUAUGUAAGAAUCAUUGAAAGAGAAAGGAGAGUAGUCUAGAAUAGUUUUAGAACAAGCACUUAGUUAUUUUUCUUUUCUUAGGAGAGAAACUUGUAAGAAACACUUGGAGAUUUCAUUGUACAACUCAUUUCACUACAAGAAAAAGGGUCGUCAGUGACAAUAUUUUUUAGUGAAGACAGAAAGUUGUCAUAGAAUAAGGCUCUUUAGACACAACAUUGAAGGUUGUCACAAUUGACUCAACGUAGCUAACUGUUCAGUGAUGAGCCCUAAUUGUCGUCACAAAACUACUUCGUGCCAUGAGACUUUGAAAGCGCGGGUUUUACAAUAGUGAUAACUUAAUAAAAGUUGUCAGUAUUUCUACUUCUUUCUUUGACAACUUUUCAUUGUUGUCACUGUAUAAGUUUACUGACGACCCAUUAUUGUCAGUAAAUCUAUGGUGCAGUUAGUGACAACACCAUAUCAUCACUUACCUUAACAUCUCCAAGGUCAUUGUUUAAUUGUGAACCUCAAUAUCAAUUUAAUUUUCUUGUAAAUUUGGCGAUUUAUUGAACUAGUCAUAGUUACUCAAACUGUAAUAGAUUUUUAACUGAAAAAUUAACGAAAGUUUCUAGUUAGAACAGCUAUAUAAACCAUUACAACCUGAGCAAGAGUACUUUUACUAAUUGUUUGAAUUUAGCAAAAUUUUCCACCCAUUACAAUUUUUAAUAAAUAUAUUAAGAAAUAGUUAUUAGAAAUAUAUUAGUAAGGGAGGGGGAAUGGAUUUGGUGAUUCGGGGGAGGGAGUGUAAAUAUAUUAGUAAAUUGACUUAAAACGAACAAUUGACUUAAGGGAAAAUUGCAGAAACCUUCCAUGAGGUUUGUGAUACUAGCACUCACCUCCCCUGCGGUUUAAGAAAUAGCACUGAUAUCUCUUGAACUUACUGAUUCUGUUGCAUAUUUAGUCCAAGUUAGAAAAAGUGCCAUUAAAAUAUUGCUUUAAGGAGUGAGAUGAGAAACUGUGCCAGAUUUGCCCUUUGUGCUACAUGCCAAGUAGAAUUAGCAAAUGAAUGACAAAGCACUACAAAAUAAUUAACAAUUAAUAAACUUCAAGAGGUGUAGUUUAUGGGCAAAUAGGCAUUACUUAUUGAAAGUACUAGUUCUUUAUGGGCAUUUUACUCUCAAACAUUUAAUUUAUGAUAAAUACAUCAAUUUUUGUAAGUAAAAUUCAAAAAGUGUUACAGUAAUAUUCUUACAAAAAGGAAACAGGCAUGUUAUCUAUUUAAUACAAAUUAAAUAUUUUAAAAAAAAGAAAUGGCCCAUAAAGUAUUAACUCUUUAUGGCUUUCCUCCAUUACAUGAACAAGUAUCGGCUCUUUAUGGGUAUUUUAUUUUGAAUCAUUUUAUUUAUGUUAAAUACAUAAAUAUUUGUAACUAAAAUUAAAAAAGUGUUACACUAAUAUUUUUAUGAAAGGGAAACUGGUAGGUUUUGUAUUUAACAAAAAUUAAAUAUGUGAAAGUAAAAAAAGAAAUUGCCCCUAACAUACCAGUUCUUUAUGGGUCUCCUCGAUUACAUGAAUAAAGCACUAGUUAUUUAUGGACAUUUUACUCUGAAUUGUUUAAUUUAUGUUAAAUAUAUAAAUGUUUGUAAGUAAAAUUCAAAGUGUUACACUAAUAUUUUUAUGAAAGGGAAACUGGUAGAUUUUGUAUUUAACAUAAAUUAAAUAUAUGAAAGUUAAAAAAGAUAUUGCCCAUAACAUACCAGCUUUUACAAUGGCAGCCAGAUAUAUUUUGUUAGUUAAUUCUUAUUUUGCCCAUAACAUACCAGAGGGGAGAAUAUGCACGAUCAAGCUCGUGCUUAUACAAUGGCGGCCAAAUAUAUAUUGUUAGUUAAUUUUUUUAAAAUUCAAGCAUAACUUUUAGAAUUAAUCUUUCAUAUACUAUCAAUAUAUACAUUGACGGGGUUGGAUGAAUGCCACAUCAUAUGAAUUUAAAUUUAAACAACAAAUUUUAUAUAUGUGUCAUGCAUCUAGACCCACUAGUGAAUACACUGUCAGUGUAUAAAAGAUUUACUCUAACUUUUAUAAGUCACGUGCAAACCAGGGGAUAGCCCACGAGGACAAAACCAUAGUCAUACAAAACAAUAUAAAACAAACACAACAAUACAGCAACUUGAAAUUACAGACUAAACAAUCAAGUGAAAAUUUGUUGAGUCGGGUCCCAACUAAGACUAAACUCGUAAUCCUCUUGGAUCUUUGCAUGUUAACUACUUAGUUUAUGUAAUCACGAGUUACUGCACAAUUGUAACUUUAAUGAUAGAACUCCCUAUUAUCCUGAGGUUGGUUCAACCAGUAGAAGUAACUCUAAUGAUAUAACUUCCUAUUAUCUUAAGCUCGGUUAGAUGUACAUUGGGCUAGUUUUUGUAAUAAAGAGUUACUACACAAUUGUAAUAUCGAAUGAUAGAAUUCCUAUUGUGUACGUUCAUAUGUACAGUGUUGAAUGGUUUAUUUGAGCCAAUUAAAUGUCUCCUUUAAUUUUUUUUUUUUUUUAACAUCUGGGAAAUUGAUGCGAACUCGAUUCUCCAAACUCCAGCUCUCGAAGAAACGAAUUGCACAAGCAGCGGAAGGAUCUAUCUCGACCAGGUGAUGGAUACAAAGAUGGAACAACCUUGACUCUUCUAACUCACAAAAUUGUGAAUCUUGAAUCUAAUCGCGACCCACAACUCAACAAGAUAGCGAAGCAAAAUGUGUUGGUAGAAUGGCGCCACAAUUUAACGUGGUCUUGAAUUGAUAAGUCAAAAUUGAACAAAGGAAACACAACUCACUUUGUAUCAAAGGACGCUUCCAAAGGAACAAGAAAGAGAAAAACUCUCAAUUUUUAUUCAUCUCAUAAUUGUCUUACCUCCCUUUUGAAAAAUAUCAUAAGCUUGGCUAUUUAUAGCCUUACAAGAAUCAAAAACCUAAUCUAAGUUGGAAACAAUACAAGUUUUCUUAUUUGACUUGGCUUCUAAACUUGACACAACUUCCUAAACAAAUUUGGAAGCAAUUAACUAUUUUCCUAAAACUCUAACUAGACUAGAAUAGGAAACUAACUAACUCAAAUUGGCUUAACUGUGAUCAACAUGACCUUAGCCUUUAUUCCCUAAUUCAAACAACUUACUUAACUCUUAAAUUAACUCUAAUUAACAACUAACAUUGCUGAAAACUCAAUUAAAUAAAUGAUAACAAGAAAUAAGCAUGACACAGGUUUGGAUCUUCAAUGAUUCUUGAGCCCAAUAACCAUUAUUAGAAUGUGAAGACUUGUAAAAUGAAUUUCCCUGGAUUUGAAUCAUUGGAUCCCAUUUUCGCAUCAGAAAUGAUCAGUCUUGGGAUGGAUUCUAUUGUUCACUCCUGUAAUAUUCUUAUUGGGGACAAAAUUGACAAUGAAUUUUAUUAAUUAAGACAGUAUAAUAAACAAAUGAAACUUAUUUUGUAGUUUUAAGAUUGUUGUAAUGCUAAAUAAAAGUCAUGAAAAAGUAGUAAUUGUAUUAUUCAAUUGACUAGGCAACAAUAUACUAAUCAAAUAGAUUAAGCAUGAGUGAAAAAAAAUAAAAUUUUUACUCUUUUUUUAACAUUUACAUUAUUUUGAUAUUUGUGACUUUUGCAUUUUUUAUGUAUCUUAGUUUUUUUUUGGAAUUUACAAAAUUAUACUGAUUUUUAUAGUAGAAAUUGCUAGUAAGUUUUAAAGCCAAGUUGACUACAGACAUAAAUAUAAAAAAGGGGCGUUCACUAAGGAUUUAGCUGAAAAAUUUUCAAAUAUUUGGGAUCUUUAUAAUAUUAUUAAAAUGUAAGGGUCAAAAGUUAUAGAAAGGUAGGAACUGUAAUUGCAAUUGAUGAUUUUGCUGCCCACAAAGACCAGCGCACAGAAGAAAUUGUUGGAAGGGACCUCAUAAUUUGAGUCUACCUAGUUCGAAUGAGCUCAUGUAAUUUUUAUUACAUUUGGUAUAAAUUUGUACAAUUUUGUUGUAAUCGUCAACUUAGUUGUAUUUAUUAAAAAAAUUCAAAUUUACAUUCAAAGCGUAUAAAUUUAUAUAAAUAAUUAUAAAAAUUACACGAACGAAUUUGAACCGGAGGCUGCUCAACUUGGGCGGCCUUGAUCCGGAAAUUGCCAUAGUGACUGUAGGCAGACAUAACAAACAUCCUAAAAGGACAUAACAAAAUUGCCAGGUCAACGACCAAAACUUCUCGUUAGCCACUACACCGGCAAGAUGCAGGUGCUCAUCUUCGACUAAUCAUUAGUGCUCUUCUCUCCGCCACCUGGGUUUUUUGCCGUUUUCAGGUGUCCGUCGAUUGUAAUUUGUUCCCUUUGUGGAUGUGGGUUGAACUGUAACUGUGUAGUGAUUUCUUUCUUGUUGGCUUUUUAUUGGUUUUUGUCUCGUUUGCUUAUUGCAUGAUUAAGCUUUGCAUCCGACUGCAAGAAUUCAAAUGGCAAAGUUGUCUUUUUACCUCCUCAUAUUUCAAAAGGUAGGUCUAGAUUGUUUGCUGGAUUAAUUAGAAAACUAAGCAAUUCAAUUUUCCUAUCCCUGAAUUUCUAGUCUUGUGUACUCGGGCAAACCUUUUUCAUGACUGAGUUUAACAUCUACAAGUAAAAUUCUAGUAUUUCCAACUAUUUUUUCUUGUUAUUUCACGUAUAUCAAAAAAGUUCUAUAGUAAUUAUUUUAAAUAAUAUUUCAAAUAAUACACUAUCUAAAUAUUCCCAAUAUUUGAUACCACCAAUGUAGUACAUAACAGAUUUUUUUUUUUGACAAAUGGACGAUUAUUGAAGUUAUCAAGAGCACAUUGACAAUGAUAACAUUUAUUGGAACUUGGCAACAUGUAUACUGUAUAAUCUAAAUUUGUUCUUAGUUCAACUAAACACCAAGCCAAAUGAACUUCCAGUAGGUACUUUAUUUUAAUGCACAAAGAAGAUGAAUACAAAUUAUGAAACAAAAACGGUUGUAUUCUUUUUUCCGUUCAUGGAACAAGUAAUUGACCAGAUCACGUAUCGUAAUAAACUUCUUUAUGAUGUUGGAUUUUUGCCAAAGAUUUCACUUAUAACGCUUCCCUUCCCCCCCCCCCCCCCCCCCUCCCUCUUCAACAGCCCUCCUUGAAAAUAUUGUUUAUUUAUGUAUGCUAUCAUUAUAAGUUUUUCUUCUCAUUUUCUUUGUUGUGAAAAAUAUCUGAUUCUCACUUGUCAUUGUAGACUCUUGUCUUAGUAUGAUCAUUACUAGCAGGUUGCAUUACUUUCUAUGAAAAAUUUAAUAUUUCUUUUAUUAAGGGUGGCAAAUUUGAAAAAAAAAAGAAAAAGAAAAGAAAGGAUGACAAAUUUUAAGCUGUUGUUUAAAUCAAUUAUUCGAAGGGUUAUUAGGUAUUAGGAAAACAGUAAUAACUACAACAACAGAAAACGGCUUUGACGUGAAAAUUCACUUUCCUUAAAGAACUUUGUACUUCAAAAGUGUUUAGUCGUCCAAAUGUUAGAAAGGAGUUUAUUAGCUCUUGUCAUAUUGCAGCCAUGGUUUGCGCUUUUUAACAACAUUAAGUACUAUCCUUGUUUAUUAUCUUCCAGCUACAUCUAAUAAUCUAGAGGUUUAAACUAAUAAUUCUAAUCAUGCUGUCAUGUAAAUCUCAUUCUAACAGUUGCGUUAGUGUUUCAUAUAUGCUAAUUUUCAAGUUUACAAUUCCUUUUAUCUUUUAUUUAGUUCUAGUUUAUAGCUUUUCGAAGUUAGCAAGAAAUAUAGCUUCAAAGUUUCUCCACCUUGUCACAUGAUCUUUGAAUAUGUACACAUUCAGCCCCAUUUGAAUCUAACAAAAUCUAUAUCUGAAUCUACAUAGUUCUCCAAAAAAUUAUUCAAUGCCAGAAAGUUGAUGUAGAGAUAAAAAUUUCAAAAUAUCAACUGAUGGAGAAAGCAGUACAACAGCUUUUGCCUGAAUGGACAACAUCAAAAGCAUCAGCAGCACCUCACUUAGAUGGCAGAAGCCUCAAUCUUGAAUUUGAAGCUGAAGCAAAACGUGCCAAACUAUUAGCAGUGCAGAAGCUGGACCCUACAGCGAGAAGGUGGUCAACUUUAGCAUAAAUUAAUCAUGCUCUUAGAUUUAUAUAAACUAGCAGAUGUUCAUGGUGAUAAAUCGUAAUUAUGCCCAAUGCAGUUUUGGCUAAUAGUUAUGAAUAUUAUAUAUGAAAAAAAUUACAUAAUAUUGUUUUAAGUGUGUUAAUUUGUUAAUCUUUUAACAAAAACUAAGUCAUAAAUAAGAAUAACAUUUUUUGUUAUAUGAUAUUUAGUAGGAUUAAUCCACAACUGAAUAAUAGCUGGACACAGGUCAAUUUUAAUAUUCACAGAAAAGAAAUAUUAGUUUGUCGUAUUUGAGUUAUUAUUUAGUAAAACAAAUGUAUGAUUAAAGCUAAGAAAUGGACAAAUAGACUUUUACUGCUAUUGAAGUUAAAACUUAUCUAUUUAUCUUUAAAAUACAAGACUAACAUUAUAAGAAUUAUCGUCUACAUGAAAAUGAUACUCUAUAAGAGUUGAGCUUCUGAUUGCCAACACUAUGUAGGUUAUCUUUUUUCCAAUCAUCCCGCUGCCUUACCUUUUCUUGAAUAGCUACAUCGUCAUCAUCCUCCUCUUCACCACGUCUCAAGUUAUCCUUAGGACCUUAACCAAUGUGAAAGUAGUCAAUUUCUGUAAUAAUCAACAACCAAAAUGUGAACAACAUUUUUCAGUAAAUCCACUCCAACUUCUAAUCUGAGCAGGUGCAUGGCAUUUCUUAAAAUAUAAUUGGCUUCUUGAUUCAUCAUAUAUCAAGUCAACAAAAUCGCGGUAGCAUCUCUAACAUGUAUGAACAUUUGAUGGUGUUGAGAAAACAAUGUAGAUGACCUAUUAGUCUAUUUAAAAACAGAAAAAAAAAGGAAACUAUAGAAGGAAAUAAAAAAAAAUAGGGUGUAGUGUUUGUGUCUGAUAUAGAGAGAGAGAGGAAGAGAGCGUUUGCUAAAGAAACAGGGUGGAAUACAAUUUAGGUUCUCAGGUCGUAUUAGGAAAGUUUACUAUGAGCUCCGACAAUUCUGACCUCAUUUGGAGACAAUAAAGGCUUGGUAAAUGGGAUAAUUAUCUAGCACCAUCCAAGCAAGAGCGUCCUCACCCCCUUGCAAAAAACCAAAAGGUGAACCACUGGGUUAGUACAUUGUUGGUAGAAAAAGUUUUGCAGUUGCUGGGAAGAACAUAUUGAGAAUCACCUUAACUGAAACUCAAAAUUUUUCACUAAUAAAGCCAAUUCCUAGUUAAUUUCUCUAACUUUUUCCUUUCUUUCUAUUUUUGAAUACGCAAUUUCCUUUUUGCUGUAAAAGUAGGGUUGAAAGCCAUAACGCUCCAGUGGAGGCAACAAAUUCAAAUCCGAGUAUAGCAGGGGAAGUGACAUAGCAAAAUCUACCCAAAUGACAUCAAAACCAAUAUAUGGUAGUUCAUCACUACCUAAAUUGACCCAAAUGACAUGUAUCCUGACAUAGGUUACAUAUCUCAACGUGGUGAUUAGAAUGAAACUCCAUAUUUUUAAUAGGAUACAUGCAAUCAAAAUCCCGAAAGAUAAAAAUAUUGAUAUCAUAAAUACCGAAGAGAUGGAGAAGUAGUUAUGAUUGGUUUUAGAAACAGACAAACUUGAAGCAGCUACUGAUUGCUAAUUCUCAAGAAAAUAUCCCUCUAUUUUCAUUAGAUUAUCACCUCCAAAAGAUCAAUUACAUGUCAACUUAUAGGCAGGAAAAAAUAUCAGCAUGUUGAAGUUAAAAAAAUAUAGAAAAUAAACUGCAUAGUGAAGUUCCUUCAUGUUUUAUUUAGGCAAACAAAAGGGUGAAAGUUAAGAAAAAUUUUAUUUAAUUAUGGAGUUUUUUACAUAAAAUUUCCCAUAGUAUAUCUGUAUAAUCAAGUACAUUGAGGCAAACCACGAAGGAAGUGUAGAUAUACCUCUUGCUAUUCAAUUUGAAGCAUUUACGAGUAAAUCAAUUAAAAUCUUGAAGCCUCUAGCAAAAUUACCAUCACCUCCUGCUUACAUUUUCACCUAAAAAGGAAUCAAACCAAGAUAUGUAAGCUGAGUAUAAAUAAGUUUCAAAAACAAAGGAAGAGCCAUUUUUUGGAUGGAUGCAAUGAACUAUGAAAAUUUUUAGAUUAAUAGAGAAAUAUAAUAAUGAUGUAGCAAUAUGAUCCAUUUCCAGUUUAUGAUACAUAAUUUACAGUCUGUUAAAAAAUGACUGCCUUUUCGUUUGAGACAUCUCACAGAUUGCCUUUUGUGAGUCAAGAGUAGUAUAUAAACCUGCAAGGUAGAUAACCACAAAAAAGAAAAAAAAAAAAAAGCAAAAUCAGAUCAGCUGAAAAUCCAGAGUAAAAAAAAAUAGUAGAAAAAAUACUUAGAAUCAAAUGACUUUUCCCACUUUCAAAAUUUCUAGAUAAUCUUUUCACAAGUGACCAUUUGUUCCUAAUCAUUCGAAAGAGCUAGGGAGUAAAACCACCUAAAUUAAAGCCAACUAAAAUGCAUUGAAUAUUUACCAUACUCAAUAACAAACUCAAGGAAUAGAGUAACUUUCUGCUAUAUUGCACAAGAGCCAAAAUUUACAGCCUUAAAGCACCACGUGAAAUCGAGAAAUCUCUCAAAUUUAAAGAAAGAUAGCUAACUAUUUUCUUCAUCGUUCAAAAGGAAAUAUAUAACAAGUACUUUUCAGUUCCAUAAAACUUACCAUUCAUCUGCUGAGGAAUGUUAGUAAUCCGUGACAAAAUCUUCAAACAUGCAACUACAACACUGGAAAAAAAACUAAUAACAAAUCUAAAAGGAAAAAAGGUGCCAAGAAAACAGGAGCUCCAACAGCGAGACAUUUGCAUCUUUGUUAUUCUUGCUGAAGAAAAAUAUUGGUUGAAAGGUAAAGGUAUUACCUUUUAAACUUGAAUUCCACCAUUGAUAUUUAAGAGUAGGGUAGACAUUCACGCGAGAAGAAAUUAUCUGAAAUUUGUCAAUAAUGGUCUGAGAUGCUUCGUGCCAAGGAAAUAUUAGUUAAAAAGGACACAUGAAACAUAUUGCAAGAGAGUAAGUAAUUCGGGCAUAAUGGAAAGAAAAAACAAAUUUAGCGGAAGUUUUUCAUUUCUUAUUUACUUGUCAAACAAUAAAAUUAUUUGUUCAUCUUGAAUUUUACCAUUGGAAAUUAAAAGCAGUAAAAAAACUCUCGCAAGAAGAAACUUUCUAAUUUUUCCCUUCUUUCCUUUUAGACUUCCUAAAAUUUUUCAUUAAUGGUUUGAAAUGCUCUAAGCCAAGGAGAAAGCAAAAGAAAGAAAAGGAUAGAUAAAAAAUAUGCAAAAAAAUAAGAAAUAAGGGCAUACAAACCUUACCUUUUAAUAAAUUCUCUAACCUAAAUUGCAAACUUUAAAUAAACAAUAACUGGACACAUAUUUCUAAAAAAAAAAAGUUCCAACAAAACCCAAAAAAAUGUUAUCUAUCAACGAAAUUAUUUAUGAAGGUAAAAAAUUCUAGAUAUGAUGGGUACCUAUAUCAGAUUAUUCCACAUCUUAGCAGAGGGACGAAGGGUCUUGCUCCUAUGUUUGGAGAGACUAAAUCAAAACAAAGAAGGAAAAUGUUACCAAAAAAAAAAAAGAAACAAGCACAUUAAACAUAGGCAAAAUGGGUGAAAGUUUACCAUGAUUACAUUUGAAAAAAAGUGAUUCAGAUGGCUGAGAAGAAUCAAACAUCUUCCCCCUUCAUCCUUGUUUCCCCUUUCCUGUUAACUGAAGAGAGAGUUUGAGAGGAAUCGGCCAUCAACAAGGAAAUGAGGAGGAACGGGUGAGACAAAGGAGUCAUCUGCUUUUUUCUGUUCUAUUCUGGUGGGCAAAUGAGGAUCCAUCUACAAUCUAGUAUUGAGAGAAAUACUAGACGUGUAGUAUUCAUCAUUGUCCAAUGUGGGAGUGACACCUCAACAAAUGAUAAUUGCAAUGAUUGAUGAAAAUAAGUGUUCAUGUAAAAUGUCCUAUUUCUGCCUUGGGUCAUGACCGGUUGUUGUAGAUGCAUAACCGGGAACAUGUGUAUUAAAAAAUGAGAGAAGUGGGGCCUGGCUUAAAGAAACAAAAGAGCACAUGCUUGUAUUCUACUGUCCACGUCAUAAGAAUUUAUGCUCUUCCCAACGAAUUUGUAUCAGACAAAAUUCAAUUUAGUUGUACCACAACUAGAUUGUCCGAGGAUUAGUUCCAAGGUUUGCUGUCCAAGUUGCAUUCAAUGCUUUCACCAACAGCCACUCAAGCGUUUGGAAAUGAGUUAUUAAAAAUUUAAUGAAUUAAAAUGGUUGUUGGGAAUAAUAAAUGGCAUUACUUUGAACCUAUACUAUAAAUUGUUCAAGAAUGGCAAGGAUCCAUCACAAUGUAUAUGGAAGAAAAGUAGGUGGAAAAUCAACAAAGAAAACCUCCCAAAAUUGAAAAGAAGGUAAGUAAUAUUUAUUAAAUUUUGAUAAAGACCAUGUUUAUGUUUUUUAAAUAAUUAUAUAAAUCACUAAUGUUAGAGGAAAAUGUUAUCUAUGGGUCUUGCAUUAUGCGGUGGGAUAUGCAUCUCUUUGUUUGAUUAAUUUUUACGAAGUACAAAAUAGUCAACUUUUAUGCAACUAAUUUUUUGUUUAAUUAUUUUCACUAAGUUUUGGGUCACUAUUUGACUAUUGGUUCCGUUAAGGAUAUGGAUUUGAUGUCAUAAUAAUAAUUUAAAAUAUUAACAGAGGAAUGUGAUAGACAAUAAAAACUAUGUAAGGACAUAGUUUUCAUGUAUGUAAAUUUGGAAGAAAGAAUCGGAAUAAAUUAUCAAGGAGAAAGCAUUGGAAGAAAUUAACCAACCAAAUUGUGAAUGAGUUUGUGUCCAGAUGAAAUAGUAAACUGUUUUCGUCCACUUAUGACUUUUAUUGUAAGUAAGGCAGUGGGAGAAAAUGGUGGAUAAUUAACAUAAAAGCCUCUUUUAAGACUUUAAAUCCUAUUACUGAUUCUGGAGUCGUAAAUUAGUCAAUGUUUUUUUUCCUGCUACUCCAUUGUUUUUUCUUUGGUAGGACUAAGUUUAAAGAUUUAAUUAAUUUUUUUUUGAAAGGAAAAAAAUAAGGAAUGACAUGUAUUAGAUUCUUUUGUAUAAUUAAUUUAAUUAUGAAUUUUGUGGAAGAAGUGAAGUUUAAAAGUGGCGUGUUUAUAUUAUUGAAUUCAUAUAAGUGUGGUUACAUGGGAAUGAAAUGUAAUAAAAAGGAUGUGAGCAUUGAUUACCAAUUCUGGCAGUACAUGAAUGGUAUAUAAUAACGUCAAUCUUUUGUUUCGUAGAAUAAAAAUGGAAGAUAGCGAAGGCAAGUGUGGAAGACAAUCAAUGUUAAAUUUAAAUGAAUAUCCAGAAGACCCAUAUGUAGAUGUGGAAGAAAAUGGUAGUAGAGAGACUGGGGGCGAAGAAAAUGUCGAGAACACUGCAAUUGAUAUCGCCUUCGAUCAAUUUUGCGUGGAUGACAUUGAGCGUGAUGAAGUGAUGAAAAUGACAUUUCCGUCCGAGUCACAUGCCGAGCUAUUUUAUAACACAUACGCAAGAGCAAUUGGGUUUAGCAUCCGCAAAAGUGAUUUCAAGAUGUUUGACAGUGAGAUUGUGAAAUACAAAAAAUGGGUGUGCUCGUGUGAAGGAGAGCGCAAUCCAAAAUGGAAAAAUCUUCAAAAUAGACAGAGGGAGGCAAAACCCGACUUUAGAACAAAUUGCGAAGCUUGUUUUCGGAUAAAGUACAAGACUAUAGGAGAUUAACGGCAUUGACUUUUACAAUUUUGUCUAAUACAUAGACUUUGAGUAUAGGGAUGGUGGUAUCGGCGUUGAAAAUGGAGGCCGCACCAAGCACAAGCCUAAAGGAAAUUAACUACUGUCCCUCAAAUUCACGGUUCCCACCACACAUCGGAAUGUUGGCGGGAAGUGAAAGUGUGGCAAUUGUGAAAACUUUCCUUGUUUGAAAUAGAAUUCCAUCUCGUGCAUUUGCGCCAAUUUUUUCCCCUAAUGAAUUGUACAUGUUUGGAUUCCGUCCAUUUCAUCAAUCCGAUAUGGUCUUAUAUUACUUUAAUUACAAUCUACAAACAUUAAUACAAGAUCGUAUAAUUAAUAUGUAGUUAACUAUGUUUGUUGCAUAUUAAUAAAAUUGCAACAUUUUGGCUUUAUUUAUGAUAGCUAAUAAAUAAUUAAUUUUUGGACUAAUUUGUCUAAAUUAAUCAUACACCAUGAUAUUGGACCGAUAUGGUCAUACAAUUAGCAAGCCGCUACUGUUUACGCAUUUACCCAUAUUGAAGAAAUAAUUAACAUUUUUGGGCAAAAACCACCCCAAUUUGUACAAAAUUUAUGUAUUGGAGUAAUUUGGGUAUGACAAUUAAAAUUAAUUUUUUGGACUAAUUUACUCCUAGUUUUUUUUUUGUUAAAUCAAACAUCUAACUUGACACUGCCAACUAAACGCUGGACAACAGGAUUACUCAUCCAAAGAUGAGUAAUCGUCUCUCAUUUCACGGAGAGUUCGUUUGCUCCAUUGGAUCAUAUGAUAAUUUGAAGUUAUUUACUUCUAUUACUUGUUAUAAAUGAAUAGUCAACCAUAUUAAAAUAAUAGAAGUAAAUAACUAUUUUUUUAAACAAAUAAAAUAAUGAUCACUUGCUAUUAUUUUUCUCGAGCUUAGCUAGGCUCAAACUAUCAUAGAUUAAUGUUGAACUCGAGUUUUAAAAUGAAAGUUGAUAGAGCUCAAGAUCGUUGUCAAGAUUUGCAUUGUACCAAAAAGCAAUUUUGCAAUCCUCAAGUAAGUAAUUCCAUCUCAUGCUAUUAUUGAUAGAAUAAAUAUUGAUGCUUAUUUGUUAAACUAAACGUCUAACGCAAAACCAACCAAAUGCUGGAUAACAAGAUUACUCAUCCAAAGAUGAGUUACUGCCUCUCAUUUCAUGCAAAGUUCAUUUGCUCCAUUGGAUGAAUAUAUUUUAACAAAUUGAUGGUAUAAAUGACUAUUUUAUUCUUCUUUUAUAAAUAACUCUUUGUGCCGUCUUAUAUUACUUUUAUUACAAUCUACAAACAUUAAUGCAACACCUUCUAUAUAAUAAUUUAUUCAAACAAUCGUAUAAACUAUGUUAACUAGAUAUUAAUAAAAUUGCAGAAUUUUGGCUUUAUUUACCAUAACAAAUAAAAAAUUAAGUUUUGGUCUAAUUUGUUUAAAUUAAUCAUACACCAUGAUUUUUGACGGAUAUGGUCAUACAGUUAACAAACCGUUGCUAUUUACACAUUUACUCAUAUUAAAGAAAUAAAUAACAUUUUUGGGAGAAAAAAAACCGCCCCAAUUUGCACAAAAUUUAUGUAUUGGACUAAUUUGGGUAUGACAAUUACACUUAAUUUUUUGGACUAAUUUACCCCUUUUUUUUUUUGGUUAAACCAAACAUCUAACAUGACACUGCCUACCAAAUGCUAGACAACAAGAUUAUUCGUCUCUGAUUUCAUGUAGAGUUCGUUUGCUCCAUUUGAUCAUAUGAUAAUUUGAACUUAUUUACUUCUAUUACUUGUUAUAAAUGACUAUUCAUUUAUGUUAUAAAUGUCUUUUUUUUAGCAAAUAAAAUAAUGAUCACUCGUUAUUAUUUUUCUCAAGCUCAAGCUCGAGAUUAAUGUUGAACUCGAGCUUUAGAAUGAAAGCUGAUGGAGCUCAAGAUCGUACUGGAAGUUACGAAAAUUGAGCCAAUUCAACUCAUUUUGCAAUCCUAUAUGUUAUGGAGCCUUGUUAUUAAAUCUAUGUACUUUUUGUAAAUUCAAUAUUAAUACAUUAAUCAAAAAAUGAAUAAAAAAAUGGAGCCUUGCAAUCCGAUAUGACUCGAUAACCCAUUUGCGAAUUAAUAAUAAUUUAAUAAACAUAAAAAUUAUUUUAUCUAACUAAACUAAGUUAUUUUUUUUCCAAAGGCAUUAAUCACUUAAUCCUAAAUGAAUUUAUUUAACUUGUGUGAAGUUAAAGUUAUUAUAUUUGGACAAAUAAUGUAUUAUAUUAUUUUUUACUAUUAUACUGUUUUAAUUUAUUUUAUAUUUGGUUUGGGAUAAAACACCUUUACGAUGUCUGAUUUAUUUUAGAUUUGGUUUGGGAUUAUUUAUUUAAAUUUUUAUUACUUGAUUAUGUAAUUAGUUUUGUGCGAAAUUGGUUUCAUUAGAAAUUACAAUGAUAAAUUAAUAAAUUAAAAUUAAGUUUCGGGUCAUUUCGGGUCGCCCCGCCAAUCAGAAAUUUUCGAGUUCGUGACAAGUAUCUUGACCUGUUUCGGUUUGGUAGGUCAGGUUCGGGUCAGCGGGUUUUCUGUUACACUCAGGUCUCAACCCGACCCGUCACCCCGAUUUGGACCCGAUUGCCACCCCUAAUCGUACUGGAAGUUGAGAAAAUUGAGUUGAUUCAGCUCAUUAAAUCUAUAUUUUUUUGUAAAUAUAAUAUUAAUAUAUGUAAUCAAAAAAUGAACAAAAAAGAAUCUGGCAAAAAUACAAUAUAUUACGGCUACUUUGUAUUUGCUGCUUUAAUUUGAAGUAUCAUAGUUAACAGAACAAAGUAAAGUAUAGUGAAUUUUUUUGCAAAAAAUAUAAAACAUUUACCCAUAUCAAGAUUUCUAUUGUACCAAAAAAUUCACUCGGAACUGUGAUUUGUUUUGUUUUGUUCAUUCUUGAUAAUGCCCACACGGAGUGUUAUUGAUAUAUUUCAUCUGCUGAAGUCUCUGGAGUUUAUCAAAAAGAACCGCUCAAUUACAGCUCGGGUACUCUUGAAAUCCCCGAGGUGCACUUUAUUUUAUUGAACAGCAAGUACUCUUCUUUUACCUUUUAACCCGGUGGCCUAUUGCUCAGUUUUUGGCUGUAUUAGUUGACAAGUUUUACUCUUCUAUAUUUUAUUAAUUCCCACACCACUGGUACAGUUUUGAUACUAGACUAUAGAGCCGUCCAACAAACGAAUAGAAGUGAGAGACUUUGAGAAAGUUUCUGAGAGGAGGAGGUGAAACGGAUUAGAUGGGAAGUGUGACUGGCACAUUGGGCAGAAAGUCACGGCAGAUGCAUGUUUUUUUUUAUGUUUUUUAUAUAGGCAUGCUAAGCCCUUUUCGUUCCAAGACAACAAAAGAAGAGCAUUUCUAUUAAUCUGUUUUGAUCAAAUGAACAUAAUCUUAAUCAGACCUGUGGAUGAAAAUGAAAUUAAGAAAGCUGUGUUUUCAAUGAAUCCCAAUAAAGCUCCAGGAAAUGAUAGUAUGUCACCCUUUUUACCAAACUUAUUGGGAUAUCAUUAAAAUUAAAAAUGACAUUGUUGAGGCAGUUCAAGCCUUUUCCAUUCAAGUCACAUGCUCAAAUCCAUAAACCACACUAUUGUUUCCUUGAUUCCCAAAAUCCCCAUUCCCACUAGCUUGAUGCACUAUAGGCCUAUUAGUUUGUGCUCUGUACUAUACAAAAUUAUCUCCAAAAUUAUAGUGAAUAGACUCAAACCUGUGUUAGAUAAGUACAUAAGCAAAAACCAGUCUGCUUUUGUGGCAGGUAGACAGAUUCUUGAUAAUGUUAUCCUAGCUCAUGAGUUCCUACAUAAUCUGAAAGACAAAAGGAAUGGGCAUAUGGGAUGUAUGGCUGUUAAAUUGGAUAUGUCUAAAGCCUAUGAUAGAGUCGAAUGGGAUUACUUGAGAGCAAUGAUGGACAGAAUGGGAUUUUGUGAUACUUGGAUAAAUUGGAUAAUGAACUGCAUUACUACUGUGUCUUAUUCUUUUAGUGUUAAUGGAGAAGCAAGAGAGUUUGUAAAGACAGAAAGAGGACUAAGGCAAGGUGACCCUCUGUCACCAUACUUUUUCCUCAUAUGCUUAGAAGGUUUCUCAAGUCUACUCAGAAGAGCAGAGGCAAACCGAGAAAUGAUAGGAAUGAAGAUCAGCAAACAUGGACCUGCACUAACUCAUCCUUUUUUUGCUGAUGACUCACUGAUAUUGAGCAAAGUAGAUCAACAGGAGGCCAACGAGUUGAAGGAAAUUCUAAAAAAUAUGAGGCAGCCUCAGGUCAGCUAAUCAACUUAGAGUAAUCUUCAGUGUUCUUCAGCAAAAACACUGAUCAAAGAACAAUGGAAGCAAUAUAGGAGGAGCUGGGAGAGAUCCAGGCAGUGAGUCAAGAGAAAUAUUUGGGAUUGCCAAUGAUUAUCACAAAGACCAAAGAGCAGAUUUUUGGGUUCAUAAAGGACAAAAUCAGAAAGAAGAUGGACCAUUGGAAAACAAAAUUGCUAAGUCUUGCUGGCAAGGAAACUUUACUGAAGGCAGUGACAAUGGCUAUUCCAACUAAUGCCAUGUCCUGUUACAAACUCCCAAAGAAGCUUUGCAAGGAAAUCUGCUCCAUGAUGGUAAGAUGUUUGUGGGGACAAAACGACCAAAAAAACAAGCAACACUAGAUAGCAUGGGAAAAAUUCACCAAAGACAAGGAAGAAGGUGGAAUGGGAUUCAUGGAUCUUCAUCUGUUCAACAAAGCUUUGCUGGCAAAACAAGUUUGGAGAAUAAUGACACAACCAAAUCUCUUGGUAAGCAAGGUACUGAAAGGAAAAUACUUUCCAGAAGGAUCAAUACUAGAAGGCAAUGCUCCAAAGAAUGCAUCCUGGAUUUGGCAAAGUCUAAUAAGUGCUAGAGAGGUUAUUGAAGAAGGCUGCAAAAAGAGAGUUGGGAAUGGAAAAGGAACUAACAUUUGGAAAGAAAAAUGGAUUAACAAUGAUAGUGGUGGGAGGAUAAGGACACAGAAACCAGAGGACAGUGACCUGCAAAAAGUCUCACAGCUCAUGGUUCAACACAGAUGGAACGGAAUUUGAUCUACAAAGUCUUCAACAAGGAUGAUGCAGAACACAUCCUGAACAUCCCAAUAAGUCUGUUGGACCGGGAAGAUAACAUGAUAUGGACGCACAACAACAAUGGCCAAUACACAGUGGCGAAUGGAUACAAAAUUCUGCAGCAAAAGGAAAGGGAAAGGAAGGCAAAAGGAGCAAAGAGGAGGGGUGCAGUUAUCAACAAACAGACAGGGAACUAUGGAAAGCACUAUAGAAGAUGCCUAUUAAACAUAAAAUGAAAAUUUUUGUGUGGAAAUGCAUCAACAAUGGAUUACCAGUCAAGGCUCAAAUUUUCAACAGAACACGAAAAGGAGAUCCUAUAUGCUGCGGGUAUGGAGAGAGUGCGGAGACCAUUGAGCAUGUACUACUGCAAUGCAAGAAAGCAAAGGAAAUCUGGAAAUGUGCAUUGGUACAAUGGGAUGGACUACAGGACCAAUCUGGAUGCUUUAAACAAUGGUGGAAUAUGAUGAUGAAUGCAAUAACUAGGAAUGAAGGUGAGGACCACAUAGCCUUAACAGUUCAUGUGCUAUGGCAGAUUUGGAAAGCAAGAAAUGCAAGAAUUUUCAACUCCUCACAACAGGAGCCGUUUAAAGUGAGUGAAAAGGCAACUGAGGAAUGGAGGGAACACAUGGAAGCAAAUCAACACAAACCAAGGAAGAGCAUAGUAGAAACAAGAAGGCAAACUAGAAAUGAACAAAUGGAACAAAUAGAUGCUAAGACUGUAACUCUGAAGCUUGCAGUCCAACACCAGAAGAAAUCCAAAUCCUUUGGAAUUGGCAUCACAGCUUUAAAUGCUAUAAACCAAGGGAUGGCAGCUUGGUCAUUAAGAGAAAGAUAGACAGGGAACAACGACCAAGACAUGGCAGAGGCAGUGGGAUUAUGCAUGAUCAAGGCAGCAGGGAAUGGAUGGAGGAAAAUCAAUAUACGGUUUGAAAACAGGAAGAUGAUGACCCAAAUUCAAACCGGGAAAGCUGGUAACAUAGAGAUAGCUGCUAUUUCGGAGGAUAUCCAGAAAAUAACCUUAUGGUUUCGAAUGUGCUCUUUUGUGAGGUUGAAUGACGAUACUGAUAGUUUAUGCUACAGUUUGAGCAAAAUUGCCCUUUUGAAUUUUUGUGACAUGGAGUGGAACUACGCCACUCCUUAAUGCUAAAUGCACUCUUGUAAAGAUAGGAGCCCUUGCUCCAAAAUUGUAUAGUUUUGUGAUGAUAUAAAAUUCCUAUCGUUUCGGGAAAAAAAUUCUAUUAAUCUGUUUUGGAUUCCAAUGCACAAACAACACACAAAAGAAUAUUCCUCAAAACAAAAAUUUUUCACACAAAACCACGUGCAAGGCACAUGGAGGACGACCAUGUUUUGACACCCUCUUCCCAGUUUAUAUACAUUCUUUAAACUAGGAUUUUGACCCGUGCAUUUAUAUGUGAAUUCAAAACAAUAAUAUAUAUUUAUAUAUUGUAGUACAAGAUAAAGUAUAUGAAAAAGGCUAAAAAAAUGUAUACUAAAAGUUAUAAUAUAGAUUAAAAUUUAUACCCAUAUAUCAAAAUUUAUAAUAUAAAAAUCAUAAAGUUAUUUUUAAUAUUAAUUUUGAAUUGGCCACACACAAGAAAAUUUUUGAAUUGAACGAUUUCAAAUUUUCAAAGGAGAAAUUUUGUGGAAUUGAGCAGUUAACAUUUGAGGUAAACGAAAAAAUUUCAAUAGCUUGUAAUUUGGUUUUACACUUUUGAAAUGUACUUAUAUUUGCACUUUCAAAAUAAAAUUGAAAAGAUAAAAUUUGAAGCAAAAGAAAACCUUAACCUCCAAUUUGUCUUAACAUUUUUACAAUAUAUUUAAGUUUACCUCCCCUAAAAUGAAAUCAUAUAAAACUGAAAAUUAAACACAAUGAUUGCAAGAAUUGGCAUCUGAAAAUGCAAACGAAAAAUUAAUAAUAUCUUAUAAUACCCCUAAUUACUAUAUAUAUAUAUAUGGCAUAGCAGUUACAUAUUUAUAUAUGAAGAAAAGAAUAAUAAUACAUAAAAUAAUCAAUAAUACCUAAGGCUAUUCUUAGUAUUUGGGUUUUGCACUCUUAUUCAAAUUUAAUUAAGGUCAAAUUUGGAUAAGAUAUAUAUAUAUAUAUAUAUAUAUAUAUAUAUAUUAAGUAGUUACAGUUUAGGGUCAAAUGUUCUAUAUCUUUCCAUGUCGAAAGGCUAGUAGUACUUUAUUUUUGUUUAGUGAUUUCAUAAUUUAGAUUUCAUGAAUGAUACCCUUCUUGAUUUUUUAAAUCUAUGACCAAUGAAUAUUAUUUCCUUUUUGUUUUCUAUAUAAUUUGCCUUUUAGUUUAAUUUACUAAGUUGAAGGGUAAAAUAUUGUUAUUUACUUUUAAAUUUUUAAUAGGUUUGGUGAUGUUUACUCUUUAUUUACCCUCACAUUAAUAUAUAGGAUUUUAAAUUCAAAAGGCAUGAAAGGAUAUGUAAUAAAGAAAAAAUUCAAAAUCCUAUAUAAAAAAGAAUGAGGAGUUGGAAGCAUUUUGACAUAACCAUUCUAAAAACUCCUUCUCAAAUUUAUAUAGAUACAGAUAAUAUACUAUUGAACUUCAAUUUAUUUAAAAUGCCAAAUCCCUUUUCUCUAUUAAAGUGUUGGCAACAGUCAAUUUGGAAUAGGUACAAAUAUUUUGUUAUUAGAGGUAAUUAAUGAAAAAAAUCUUUUAAUGGGUCAAUGUAGAAUGGGGAGAGAAUAUAAAAAAAAUUAAGAGGAUGAUUUAUAUAGAGAAAGAAAUUUUCUAAAAUCUAAGGGAAGCAAUGCAACUAAAGGGGCUAAUUACUCAGAAUAUCGUUGAAAAAAAAAAGUCGGACACAUAUGAGUCUUACAAGGGUGUACUGCAAAACUAUGGCUGCCGGCAGUGGCGGAGCCAGAAAAAAUUCUUAGUGGUGGCAAAAGCAACACUAAAAUUUUUUACCUACCCUUUUUCUAAUUUUUUAAGCAAAAACAAAAUUUACCAACAAGUACAAAUGAUGCAUAUAUUCCAUGAAAAACAUAAAAAGACAAAUUCAAAAUUAUUAAUAUAAUAAUAAUUUUAUUUAAAAAACAAACUAAACUAUUUACAAUUGCUCACUGCGAGUUUUUAUAUUUUAAUAGCUAACUUGGUUGUGGAAGUAAGAAUGGCUCUCGGUUGUGGAGGGAAAAUGGGGGACCAGUGGAGGGAAGAAAAAUUGGGAAGUAGGGACAAAAGAAGUGAAUGAUAUGAUUGGAUGAAUUGAUCAAGAGAAAGAGUAGCUAGCUGCUUGAUUGUAGAAGGUAGUAGCUCUCGGUUCUGGGGGAAAAUGGGGGACCAAAGGAGGGAAGGGAAAUUGGGGAGUGGGAUCCAAAGAAAGUGAAUGAUAUGAUUGGUACUUGCUAGUUGAAAUGAGAAGAUUUUUUUUUUAUCUUAUUUCAAAUGGAAUUUGUACCCCACGUAUCUUUUUAGAAUUUUAGUUUAUGAACUAAUUUAAAAAAUUACGUAAUUUUUUCAUAUCCUUUCUAAGAAAACUCUGAGGACAUACUUAAAAUUAUAUCAAAAUUAUAUAAGUAUUAUAGGAAUUUAAGGGGCAGUGGGGGCACCACCUUAAAUCAGCCCGGCAGCCAAAAAGGCCAAUUUUUUUUUUUAAACUCUGAUAGCCCGGCAGCCGGCAGAAUUCUGCACAGCCCAGCCAGUCCAAUAUUUUUUUAAAAAAAAAUUCAUCUUUUUGUGUGACAGAUGAGAGCAGCCGUGAGAAAGGCCGUGAGGGUCCCUUUUCUUUUUCUUUUCUUUUCUUUUCUUUUCUUUUGGGUGGACUAAAGUAGUGAGAUAUAAGCUGCCCAAGAAGUUUCUUAAUUCACUACCAAAACGGAAGCUUUUGCUACUCACUUUCUUGUGUUUGGAACCUUUUGAUGGCCCUUUUAUGUCCAUUCCAUGGCUUCCAGCAUGGUACAAUUCUGCCAAUCGUACAAAACUAUAUACCUAAAAUUAAAGAACCAAACAACAAUUAGUCCAAACUUAAACCAUCCUCCCCAGCAAUCCAAAUUAAGAAUAUAACCAAAUCUGCAUAUAUCAUAGUACCAACCACUAGAUAGAUACAUGCUACUACUACCACUCAAAAACCAAAGCCAAAAGGCAAAACAUUUUCAAGAAAAAAUGUACCUUGUCUCUGCACCUUCCACUAACAAUCGCUGUGGGAAAAUACCUAGCAAGUUUUCUCACGGCUGCCCUCAUCUGUCACACAAAUGCUGCUAGUGCAUCUUAUCUUAUUGUAAAAUGAAUGAGAUUUUUUGUUUAAAACAGCCUUUUUUUAGUUUAACAUCCUAUAGAAGUAAUUAUUGAUUUAACAAAUCUGUUUUCAUCUUUUUCUUACGUUCCAAAUUUGAAACGUAAUUUAAUUAACUUAAAAGAUUGUUGGAUUUAGUACGUCAAGUGGCAUAAGUUUUUAAUAAAAAAAAGGGUGAAAUUGUUGUAUUGGAAAAUGGGUGAAAUUUUCAAUAUUAUUUAGUGAAUUUUGUACAUGUCAAAACAAAUAUUGUGGUAGAUUUUAUUUUUUAAUUGAGUUUCAUAUUUGAAAUAAUUGAGGCGUAAAUAUAAAAGAAAGGGUUGGGAUAUCAAAUAUGAUUAAAAUAAAGGAACAUGUGCAAUUUUGGUCCCCCCAACAUUUGGUCUAUGAGUUAAACUAAUCUGUGAUAUUUUGACCAAAAUAAUUAUGAUAGCAAAUUUUUUAUUUUAGCCAAAUUUAGGACAACUAAUACAAAACUAUAAUAUAUAACGGUCAAAUCAAGUUAGAAUUUGUCAAAAGUUUGACUUCGUAUUUUUUGGUCCCUUAUGUUUUAAAUAAUUAUAUUUCAAAUGAAAUAAAAUGUGAAUUAGAUUGAAUGCAUAAAAAGUGUGGUCUAAAUCUCAUUAAAAUCCUUAAAAGUAAUCCACAUUGUCAAGACAUAUUAGCCUAAAAAGCAUCUUUUCGUUAAAUUAAUUACCAACAAAUGAUAACACAUAAAUCAUAUAUAAAAGAAAAUUUAGUGGAAAAAAGAAAAUCUUAGUCGCUGUUAGAUGAAGUCAACAGAUCAAAGAGACGAUUAGUGUAUCUUCAAUCAUUCAAUAUUCAAUGACAUCAAUCAUUUUCAUUGAAACAUUUUUCUUGAAAAUGUUUUGCCUUUUGGCUUUGGUUUUUGAGUGGUAGUAGUAGCAUGUAUCUUUCUAGUGGUUGGUACUAUGAUAUAUGCAGAUUUGGUUAUAUUCUUAAUUUGGAUUGCUGGGGAGGAUGGUUUAAGUUUGGACUAAUUGUUGUUUGGUUCUUUAAUUUUAGGUAUAUAGUUUUGUACGAUUGGCCGAAUUGUACUAUGCUGGAAGCCAUGGAAUGGACAUAAAAGGGCCAUCAAAAGGUUCCAACACAAGAAAGUAAGUAGCAAAAGCUUCCGUUUUGGUAGUGAAUCAAGAAACUUCUUGGGCAGCUUAUAUCUCACUACUUUAGUCCACCCAAAAGAAAAGAAAAGCAAAAGGGACCCUCACGGCCUUUCUGACGGCUGCCCUCAUCUGUCACACAAAAAGAUGAAUUUUUUUUUUUUAGCCCGGCAGCCAGCUUUUUGCAGAAUUCUGCCGGCUGCCGGGCUGACAGUGUCAGAGUUUAAAAAAAAAAAUUUGCCUUUUUCAGUAUAUCUUUGUCAGACUCAUAUGUGUCUGACUUUUUUUUUUCAACGAUAUUCUGAGUAAUUAGCCAACUAAAGGAGAGUAUGUUAUAAAAUUCAAGGGUGCAUAUAUGGUGAUAAAUCUUCCAUAUAUGGUGCAUAUAUGGUGAUGGCUAAACAGGUAGGAUGGACUAAAAUUACAAUCCAUUCAGAUAGCAAAUCAGUUAUUGACCAGAUACAUAGUGGCCAUGAGUAUGAUAGUACCAUUGCAACUAUUCUGGAAGAUGUGCAGGAUUUGACUUCACAUUUUGUAAGCUGUAGGUUUGUGUGCAUAUCUAGAUCAGAAAAUGAAAUUAGCCAUGCUCUAGCUCAGUUUGCUAUUCAGCUAGUGAAUGAUAUUGAAUGGGAACAAAAUUUCCCAGUUUGGCUGAUGGAUUUAGUGAGGAAGCAAAUGAGGGUAGUUGCCCCUUUUGUAAUUAAUUCUUGUAUUUAUCAAGGGAUUAUCAAAUAUAUAUAACUGUUAACGUUUGUGGAAAAAAAAAUAUAUGGUGAUAAAUCUUGAAAAAUUUCAAGGCCGUUAUAUAAUUGUUAUCAAAUUUGAAGGGAGCAAUUGUCCACCCUUCACUCCUAUAUAGCUCCACCACCAGCAACAUAACAACUAUCCAACCACGACCACUACAACUAGGGCAAGCUUUAUGAGGUUGGAAGAUGGCUUAAAAAAAAUUUGGAUGUGUGGUGUGCUAAAAAAAAAAGUUAAAUAUGAUGUAACAAAUUUAAAAUGAUCAUUUUACCUUGAAAUGGAGUAUAAUGAAACUUGUGAGGCUCUGAUCUUGCGUGACUGAUGGUGAUUGUCCAUGUCUUCACAGCUACAAAUUUGUCUUCUCUUUUUUGCCCUUUUAGCUCAUUUCAAAGGCAAAAAUAUCUUCAAUUGAUUUUGUUGUAGUUUAUGUAAUGCAUCUACACAGACUGACUUGGCAUUGACCUUUUCGGCUUCUUUAUUGCAUUUUGAUUGAAGAUUAUUGUAUAUAUUUUUUGUAUUAACUACUUAAAACUUGUUUGAUGUGAUAUAUAUAUAUAUAUAUAUAUAUGAUAAGAAAACAAUUACGUUAUGUGUGCAGUGAAUUACAGCAAUAUUUGUUGGGUAAAAUACACUAAACUCCCUUGUGGUUUGGGUUAUUAUCAUAAAGCCUCUUCAUUGUUUAAAAACUCCCAAAGAAUCUCCUUGUGGUUUGGACUAAUUUGGGCAAUGAACGAAAAUCGUCCAAUUUGACGGAAUUCGAAUGGAAAUCGUCCAAUUUGACGGAAAUUCCGUCAAAUUGGACGAUUUUUGUUCAUUGCCCAAAUUAGUCCAAACAACGAGAGGGUUCUUUGGGGGUUUUUAAACAAUGAGGAAGCUUUAUGAUAAUAAUCCAAACCAUAAGGGAGUUUAGUGCAUUUUACCCAUAUUUUUUCUACAUAAUGCAUGUUCAAACUGAUCAGUGCUCCUUUUUUUUUUCUUUACUGUUUUAUUAGUGAUUUCUGUCCCUGAUUUUGUUUCUCUUUCAUUUUUUUGUGGAAAAAUUGACGGUUUUUAAGUCUCUGUUGUCGCAAUUUUAUACCUCUAUCUUGUUGGAGACACUGCUUAGUUGUUGGCUUGGGAGUUUCUUGAGUCAUUGAAAACUAUACAUUAUCAUUUUGAAUAUCUUAUUCUUAGCAAGAUAUACAAGAAUAGGUGGCAUUAACCGUUAAGUAAGCAAUUGAAUGUUGAUGAAAUUGUUCGAAUGCAGGCUUUUGAGCUAACUGAGAUAUGUGCUUAGGGAAUUUCUACCAUUUAUCCACACAAGAUUCCAUAAACUUCAUGCCAUCUUAUGCCUGUCUUGGUUAUUCAUGCUUAAUUAUAGUUUGAAUAAACUUUUGUAUAAAUGAAUAUUUGUUGCAACGACAAUUAGACUAAUUAAAUAUUGUUGCCUAUGUUAUUUUGUUGUUUUUGUCUUGAUUGAUCAUGAACUAUUUUGGAUUUUUUUUUGGUGUUAUCACUAGAAGGUUAUCUUAAAAUAAAAGAAAGCAAGCCGGAUAGUUUUCAACAACGUUUUGAACUUUUGUUAUGAGCUUCAUUAUCAUUAGAAUAAUGACUCUGGAAGCUUGAGAGCAUAUUUUACUUAACAAAAAAUUUAUUUUGUGUUAGCUUCACAAAUUAAAAAAUAUAUAUAUAUAUAUAUUCGGUCUUAUAUUUUUAAUUACCAAAUUUCUUUUGGAUUCCUACCAAUUUAAUGUCAAGACUAAAAAUAGUUUACUUCUCUCUUUUUUGUUUCUUUUUUCAUGAUAAAUAUUAUUUGCCUCCUAAAGGCUAAUAAGUAAUAAGAGAGUAUUGGUGCCAAAAUCUCUUUAAAAAAAAAUAAAAAAAAAGCGCUUCAAAGUCAAAAUUCAAAAGACUCAAAACUAACUUGCUAGCUAAAGGAUAAAGCUUGGGUACUAACCAGUCAUGGUAUGAUACUUUAUUCAUCAAUUUACAUUCUCUUGGCAGAUUGGGACAUUCACCAAUUUACAUUCUCUUGGCUGAUGAAGAUUAGUUUGCUCUAUGAUUUUUUUUUUGUUGUCAAUUGCUCUAUGAUUGUUGGCUUACAAAUGAUUGUUAUUUUAUAAUAUUUUAAUAUUUUAUUGCUUUGGACUAUUACUUGUUAAUCCACGUUGUUUCCUUUUUAUAUGCUUAUGCUUUAUGUUCUCGAAAUAUCAUGUUUCAUUAGUAAUUUUCACUUAAAAAGUUAAUUCAUAACUACUAGUGUAAAAAAAUUAUUAUAUUGUCACUAUAUAAAAUGUUAAUCCAAAAUUAAAUAUUCCAAAACGAGUUAAGACACAACACUGACACAUUACCAAACAAACAGGUUAGAUAAAAACAUGACAUAAAAUUUAAAUGUGUAAUUUAUGAGUUUAUAUAUACUUUGAUAUGAACAAAAAAAUGAUACAGCACAGAAGUGACACAACACGACAUGUUUAUCGCUCUACAACCAUUAAUCCAACAAAGUAAUAAUUUAUUGGAUUGCUAUAGUGUAAUCUCAAAUUGCUAAAAUAGAUGCAUCAUUAACCUUAUAAAAUCGUAUUCUCACUAAAAUAAAAUCAAUUUAAAAAUAAAAAAACAGACCAUAAAAAAAAUUACCACGCUCCUAACUAAAAUGUAUUAUACAUUAAUAAUCACAAAAAAAAAGAAACAAAAAAGCGACAAUAUCAGGGCCCUCCACAGGCAAAGAGUGACCUCACAAAACUUUAAGAGAAGAUGACGCACGAGACUAACGGUACGAACAAAAAAUAUAUUCUUUCUUUAGUACUGAUUGCUGAAUUUUGGGUUCCUGCUUUUAGUUCAUGACGCUCAGGUUGCACAUAAACUGUUUGUCACAAGUUCAAAAAGAAAAGAAACUAGAAUACAGCAAAAAAGAACACAUUCAGUAACGCAAGAUAAUUCAUCGUAGAUGAACAGUAUGAACAGUUUACCCAAGGUAAUGGAUUAUACUUUUUAAGUCGUACAAUUUUGGUAGUAAGUUACCGAACAUUCCAGGGCAAAUAGAAGUUGUCAACACUUUAACAGGCUUUGAAGCUCAUUCAAGUCGGAGACAGUAGAAUUGAGUAAUUGUUAACUUUGCUUUUGAACUUUCGCGGACACAGCGGAAAACGGCACUUGGAACACCCAUUUGUCUAAUCAUGGCGAGGAGUUUUAACA